RNAcentral lists this long non-coding RNA (69449 nucleotides) under Malus domestica (apple). RNAcentral's name for it is "long non-coding RNA (MDOM_LNC011626)". The record is from RNAcentral. Lineage: Eukaryota; Viridiplantae; Streptophyta; Magnoliopsida; Rosales; Rosaceae.
UCUUUUUUUUUUUUUUUUUUUGUAAAGGCUCCAAUUUAUAAUGUUAACAUGUGCCCUUCAAGUAUAAAGGGUCGAGAGACAAAGUUAUGAGGUUUUAGACCUUAUAGCGGUGAUAUUGAUCUAUAGCGACAUCUCCGUUACUGCCAUCAUCGAUUUUUUCUGCAAUUAUUAUUAAAAAACAUAAUGGUGAAAUCCAUAUCAUGUGCAAAGUACUUUAUAUGCGUGCGCACUGAUGAUGAAGUAUAUACAUAUAUUGUACAUAUCACAUGACCACGUACUGUUGGUCUCCCAACAAAGUGCAUGGCUGUUAGAGAGGUUGGAGUUUACUUGUCCUCACGAAGAAAAGAAUGAGGUGCUAUUUCUACUCCUUUGAAAUGAAGUAGCAAAAGUUUUCAUAUUACCAAUUGAUUAAAUCACAGACCUGGAUGUUUGUGGGUGAAGGUAUCCCAUAUGCUUGGUCCUCUUCCAUCUUCUUUUACUGCACCUUCAUACUGAAAUACACACACAUGCAUAUACGUAAGAGUACUACUACACACGCAAGGAAGAUGACAACAUUAUAAUUCAUGCAUGGAUGCUAGCUGCAUGUAUAAAAUACACCAAAAAUGUGGUAAAUAAAGACAGAAGAUAUAUAUAUACUGACCUGGUAAGAUGCAGAACCUGUGCCAAAUAUGAACCCUGGUUCAAAACUGCUGCGAUUGAGAAAUUCGCAAUGAACAGGUGGAUCUGUAUUAGUUGCUUUGCCAUUUGUCAAUGCAAAGCCAAUGAGUAGCAGCACACCAAAGAGCAAAGAUCGUGAAUAUUUCAUUGCCAUAACUUGGGAGUUUUGAUAUCGAUCGAGAUAAUUAAGUUAUCUCCUCCGGGAAUAUUGCAUGGGGUUUAUAUAGAGAAAGGGAGGAAGGGAUAUGGUGUCUACGUACUAGCUCAUGAGAAUAAUAAAGGGUUAAAAUUUGUAAACAAAAUUGGCUUUGAAAGUCCUAGUUUAAAGACCAAGUCAAGGUAUAUUUCAAAAAAAAACAAAAGACCAAGUCAUGGUGUGUAGUUUAAAAGAAAGCACGUUUCAUGCACCCAAAAGUUGCGUAUAUACGUACGUAAAACAAUGGAUGAUCCUUGCGUUCUACCUAUGAGGAAUGCACAUAUUCUACAAAUUUUAUAUUGUGAUCGUUCAGUUUCUUAAUCUUUAUUUCAAAAUCAUCUAAACAAAAAGAAUUAUUUGAAUCUGAGAUAGUUUAGUCAUUUAAAUAUAUGAACCCAAUCGACAGUGUUGAUACUAAGUAAAAGACUUAUAUUGAACUAUUCAUUUUAUUGAUAUAUUUGGAUCACUAAACAGUCUUCAAUUUGAAUAGUUUUUUGUAUAUAUGAUAUUCAAAUUAAGAUUAAAAAAUUAAUAACUCAUUCAAACAGUAGAAAACUAUUUGACUCGCAAAAAAGUAGAAAAUUUUGACCAGAAUUCUUUAUGUAAGUACAUAACCGAUAAAGAUGAAGAAUUUAAUCUUGAUCUUUUUCUUCUUGUUAGAGUUUUAGUAUUGAAUCGGUAAACCCAGUGGUUUUGUGAAAUUGUCCUUCCACUCUGAUUAAGAAGGCAUCGAGAUAGCUAGGUUCUCAAGUUGGCUAUUUUGCUCCUAAAGAUUGUGAAAGGAUUCCAUUGGGGUGGCUUUUUCGAAGGUUUGGACACCCUUCAAAGUAUAGUGGUUACACAUUCUUCUUGCUAGUACAAGAAUGAGAAUAGUAAAGGGUUAAAAUUUGUAAACAAAAUUGGCUUUGAAAGUCCUAGUUUAAAGUCCAAGUCAUGGUCUGUAAUUUAAAAGAAAGCACGUUUCAUGUACCCAAAAGUUGUUUACGUACGUAAAAGAAUGGAUAAUACUUGCGUUCCACCUAUGAGGAAUGCACAUAUUCUACAAAUUUUAUAUUGUGAUCGUUCAGUUUCAUAAUCUUUCCUUGCAGAUCAUCUAAACAAAAACAAUUAUAUGAAUAUGAGAUCGUUUAAUCAUUUAAAUAUAUGAACCCAAUCGACAGUGUAGACACUAAGUAAAAGAUUUAUAGCGAACUAUUCAUUUUAUUGAUACAUUUGGAUGACUAAACGGUCUUUAAUUUGAGUAGUUUUUUGUAUAUAUGAUAUUCAAAUUAAGAUUAAGAAAUUAAUAACUUAUACUACAAAAAUACAUUAUUUAUAAAAAAAAAAUAUUCCUUGAGUUGAAAAGUAAGAUAAUGUACACAACAAUUCGAUCGAUCUCAUCUUAAUUUGAAAUGAUCAAUCCUUGAGUUACCCUUGAGUUUUCCAGCAAAAGAAAAUGUUUUCUGUAUUCGGAAACAAAGAGUCAUUUAUCUGCAUGUUUAUAUUAUGUCUGUCCAACUGUUGAAGGGCAUAACUUUUGAAGUUGAAUAUGGACGAUUAGCUACAGAGACUUAUUCAAACUACAGAAAACUAUUUGACCCAACAAAAAAAGUAGAAAUUUAUGACCGUAAUUCUUUACGUAAGUACAUAAUCGAUAAAGAUGAAGAUUUUAAUCUUGAUCUUUUACUUCUUGAUAGAGCUUUAAUAUUGAAUCCGUGAACCCAAUGGUUUUGUGAAAUUGUUUUUCCACGCUAAUUAAGAAGGCAUCGAAAUAGCUAGGUUCUCAAAUUGGCUAUUUCGCUCCUAAAGAUUGUGAAAGGAUACCAUUAGGGUGGCUUCUUCUUGGUAGUACAAGAAAUUGAUUAGCUGUUUCAAGAGACUGGUUUUUUAUUAGCUUACAUCUAUUUAUUUUGAUUUAAUAUUUUUUUACAAUUCAAAAACACAAAAUUUUGACCCCCCUCUAAUUUUUCUAAUUUUUUUCUUUAUUUGAAUUUUCGGGACUUAUAUUGAAUUUUAAUGUGUGUCUCACAACCUGAAGGGAUUGGGAGGGAGGAUCAUUUCAUUUUUGGAUAUAGAACGAAUAGGUUCAGGAGAUGAGAGAAUUAAGGAUACCCACCAGAAACACUAAUCCAAUGCAUAAUGAUGUGCCGAAAAAUGGAACAUUUUUGUUACCCCACCAACCCUCAGGAGAAGCAAAUGCGACACGUACACUAAUCAGUAAAUUAAAGAAUUAGCAUUUAAUGCAGAAAUAGCCAAGAGGAAAGCAAUAGUCAUGUUUCUAAUCCUCCAAUCUACCAACAAAAGAAUUAUACUAUUUGAUCCCUUUAUCAACCAAAAAAUUGUACGCCUUAUAUACUGCUUUUGGGAAACCCUCUCAACAACUAAGACAUCCAUUCGCUGAACAAGGGGACUAGUUGACGUACGAAUCCUCCCAAUAUUGGGAGGAUCCGUACUUCAGUUGAGCUAAUGACAAAUCAUUUCACCAUUUUAGUUGGAACUUUAGGCGGUAAUCCAUUUUAUAUGGAAAGGUAGUCUUCAUGCAGCCACUCUAACUAAACACUUUACUAAUGUUCUUCAACUGUUACCAUAUUUUUGUGAUAUAUUUUUCUACGUCUUUUAUAUUUGUUUACCUUAUUUAUAAAACGAUUAAGGUUUUACAAAUUUUGGAGACGAAAUUUAUUUUAAGGGGGGUUGAUUGUAAUACUCCGUAUUUUAAAAACAAACUACACACACACACACACACAUGUAGGGCUAGGUUCUGUUUGAAACGGUUCGAUUUUUUGCCAAAACCGAAACCAAACUGAAAUUUUGGUUCGGUUCAAUUUUUUUUCGGUUUUAGUUUUUUUCGGUUCGGUUUCGGCCCGAUUCGAUUUUUUGGUAAAUCUGGAUAUUGGUACUGAUCAAACCACUAUCUUCAUCUACAAAUCACAACAACAAUUACAUUCAUUUAGGGUUUGUAGGAUUUGUGGGCUCAUAUUGAUGCAACAAAAUACGAAGAGGGAAAAGCUAAUUUUUUUGGUCAGAACAUGAAUCUUUUAUCCAACACAAUAAAAAUAAAAUAAAAAAACUUGGAUUGAAUCAGAUGGAAAGAAACAAACACAGAUACAUAAUCUACAUCCCCACGCAUGAUCUGCAACCCAUACUUUCUUUGCUCUAUGUCCGUUUAUUGAAUCUAAAACCAAUACAUAAUCUGCAGCACACACCUCUAUUCAUCUCCACCCAUUUUUUUCUCCAUAACUAUAAUGAAAACUCUAUCACAUCUUCACGGAUAGCACAAAAUCUAAAUAUUGAAUCUCAUACACUAACUGCAAAUCAAUAACCCAAAUCCCUAAAUCUAGAAAACCCUAAGUUACUCUUCCUAAAUCCCUAAAGUUGAAUACCUUUUGAUUGAGAUAGAAGAGGGGAUGUCGCAGGGUCAGCAUGCUCGCAGCCAUGGGGAUGGGUGCCAGAGCCAGAGGGAUGACUGAGAGAGAAGAGGGGACGAGAUAGAGAAAAGGGAGAAAUUGGAUGCAUGGACAUGGAGGGUCUCACAAAUAUGAAGCUUGGAAUAGAAAGGAGGGUGCGGGUUAUGGAGAAGAAUGGAGAAAUGGACAUGGAGGAAGUCUGGAGGCAGGGAACGAUAGAGAGAGAAGAGGGGAAUGAAAAUUAGAAAAAGUGUGGUUGCGCUAGGGUUUUGUUGAUUUGGUCAUAAAAAUUAAAAAAAAAUCUCCAAAAUCCAGGAGGCAUGAGGAGGGUUUGAACCCAUGCGCUCCACCAGCUUGGAAAGUUUCACUGAAACCAACCUCACAACAGGUUCUGUUUUAUUAUAAUUGUAUGACUAAACUAUUUAUAAACAUUGAAAAAAAAUAAUUAAAUAAAUAUAUAUAUAUCGGUUUGGUUCAGUUUGGUUCGGUUUUCGAACCUCAAAAACCGAAACCGAACUGGCCAGAUUCGAUUCAGUUCGGUUUGAAAGUUUCGGUUCGAUUUUUUUCGGCCUCAUUCGAUUUGGUUUUCGAUUUUUUUCGGUUUUCGGUUUUUUGAACCCACCCCUACACACGUGUAUGUGGUAAUUAUUUUUAUUUCAAGUAUAAAUUCUUUUCUUUGGGUUUCUUUAUUACACUAUGUUUAUAUAAGAACUCAUACUUUUGAUAUAUAAACUAGUCUCAACGUAAGAUCUUUUUCUACAAAAUUAUUACAAAACUAGCUAGUAUUAUUUCAUAUUUAAUUAGAGAUAUUUUUAGUUUGAAUUGGACAGCUAAGAUUAAGGUGGGAUUACAUGACUAGAAUUUAUAAGACAUAGGCCCAAAGUCUUCCAUAACCUUAGUUUCACGUAGGCCCAAUAAACUUUCUUAGCCAUCCACACCACGAUCCACUUGGCAAGCCCCUACAUGUGGCUUGGGCUCAUUUUAGCACAUAACGUGGUUGGCACAAUUUGUCUAUGAUGUGAACGUCAUAACAUGACUUUGGCAUGAUAAAUUUGCAUGGAUUUGCAUAAACUUGGCGUGAUUAUACAAACGUUCAAGUUAUAAGUUAAUAUUUUAUUAGCAUGACGUGAUCGUAAAUUUAGUUACGUACCCCUAAUUCAGUAUCUUCGCAUGGAUUUAGGCUCAGCUCGUGGCAAUUUUUUGGUACUCGAGCUUCGAAGUAUAAUUGUGCUUGCAUGUGAGAUUUUUGGCCCCAACACCUUUGCAAAAUAUUUUUCAUCAAACCCCUGAAAUGUCAACCUUGGUGGAAGUGGCAAAAUCACAUAGGACUGAUUCACACGUCUCAAAGGAACGCCGUUGAUUUUGAAUGGUCUGACAAUGGUUUCGAACACUGUUCUCAAGUUACAAAUACAUUGAAUGCACGUAAACAAGUUCAUUUCAAGGAGUAGGCAAACCUCACCACUACGAAAAGAAAAACAAAAAUAAUUUUGUUACUUCUAAGGUAUGAUUUUAGGGAGUUUUAACGAAAAGCCUGCGAUACUGUUCAUUUUAACGAAAAACCAUAUUUUUACACUAAAAAGUCAAACCUGAUACUAUUCAUUUUACCCUUUAUUUUGUCCUUAUUGUUAAAACUCAGUUUUUAAGCCAUUUUCAUUAGUUUUCCUAUGAUUUUAUAGGUUCCUAUGCAUGCUUUUUCAGGGCCCAUCCAGCACACAUAUUUUAUACACUGAGCCCAUUAUGCAUCUAAUAUUCAUUAGGUCUGCCCACUGUACAUCUGUUUUGAUUAACAAAAUUUUGAUUUUUUUUAACUUUUCUUUUUCUUUGAAUGUGAUACUCUUUAUGAAAUAAACGAUUUUUUUUUUUUUUUAUCUAUGAAAUAAAUGAUUGGGAUUUGGAUUCUUUGUUUAAUUACUUACACAAGUGUUACAACGUACAAUUAUUACUUUCCCCAUACCCAAAGGGGAAAAGAGACGAAGAGAAUCGUGAGUUUCCUAUUCCUAGUCAUACCAAAACAAGGAAAGUAAAUUCCCUGUGUAAAUCUAAAGAGGAAUAGAGAGAAGGGAUAAAUAAAAAGAUGAUAAACACAAAAUCUUUUAACAAUUUAUAUACACUUAUUUAAUUUGUAAUGUUAUUUUUAUUUAUUUAAUCUGAAGAUUAAAAUUAAAGAGAAACACACUCUUUCAACGUAUCACAAUCACAUACUCCUAUUUAAUUUAUUUAUUUUUUACUUAAUUGUUCAACUUGAAAACUGAAAAAAAAAAAUGUGCGGGAGGCCUCCAAAAACUAAGAAUAAAAGCAUGUGGGUUACCCUUUAUUUGUUUUUAUUCUGAUGCAUAUUCGAUAAAUUUUAUGUAGUAAAUUCAAGUAUAUAUUAUGUAAACAUUAUUAGCGAGUGCUUUACAUUGUAGCGUGUAUUAGUUACAAAUAAGAUUUAUUUUAAUUUUUUCCCCGUCAUGUCUUGGUUAUAGAACUUACUAGCAACGGUGCAUGCGCGAUGCCGCGGGUUUUUAAAUAGCAUACAAUAUGUAGAAAGUUAUAUUUGCAAUUUUGCUUAACUCAAUCUUUUACAACUUUGCCUAACUCAAGAAAUAGAUAAAAGUUUGUUUCUUACCGAAAUAUACGAAUUUGAAUUUUAGCAGUGACACACAUAGAAAAAACUUAACAGUUCUAUGAAUUGUAUACAGAGAAAUAGGUCACAACAUUUAGGGUUCAAGUUUUGAACAAAGAAUUAGUUUAUCAGCAAGGAUUGGAUACACACUACUAGAAAAUUUGACUUUACCGACAAAAGUAGUUUGUUGGCAAAAGUCAAAAUUUGUAGGCAAAGUGUCUUUCCCGAGGAAAAAAUUUGUCGGCAAUUUUGUCACGAAAAGCAUGUCGCCUAAGAGUUUUGCCGACGAAUUUUGGUAUUUCAUCGGCUAAGAUUCAACUUUUCCCAUCAAAAUCUUAUUUGUCGGCAUUUCCAUCUUUUCCGACAAAUAAUUCAUCGGUAUAGGCCUUUUAGCCGACGAAUAAUACUUUUUAGCCUACAAAAUGUGUUUGUCGCCAUGAAUAUUUCGUCGGCACAACCUUCUCUCUACCGACAAAUUGGUUUUGUCAGGAAGACAUUUAAUUUAUAAAAAAAAAUGCUUUGAUGCUCAGCUCUUACAUAUGCAUAUCAAAAUACAAUAGACAAUUGUUAAGAAACAAUAUUUUACUGAUUGAUAAAUGUUGAAUGUACAUCUAGAGUGUAAUACAAAAGUAUCGUUAGUGAAAUCAUAAAACAAUUGAAGGAAUGUUACACAUGAACCAAAUAAAAAAUAUCAAAAGUCAUGGACUAAACUGUUCAUACAAAAGCUCCCCUUAUCCUGGUCUCUCGUCCAUCUCUGCAGUAGGAUUGGCUAAUGGCUCCUCAGGCGACCCAAACUCUCAUGUAACUCAAACUUGAACUCCCUGCAUCGACUAGCCAUGAUUCUGUUGAGGUAGUCAUAGUUUUCGUAAACGGUUAGAUUGAAAUAAUGAUUAGAAGCUCUCAAAUGUGCUAAAUAUCAUUCCUCUAGAUAGAUAUAAUGAUAGAGAUCGUAAAAAAUAUACUGGAAGCUUCUCAGAGUCUAACUUCUAAAAUUAGAGUCUUUAUUUCCACAACACAAGAAAAUGAGCAUUCCUAGCUUUAGAUCAAAUUACCUUCAAAAGUUCAAUAACCCCACAUAUGCAAACUCAAACAUUUAAAAAGAUUAUAUUACGAGUGCAAUUAUAUAUUUCUCGUUUAAUGCUAAUAUCAGAAAUGUGAGCAUUUGUCAUCAUGCAAGAGGUGGCUUACUGAAGAGCAUCAAUUGCAACCUUAAACCUUGGACGAUAUAGCACCAUAGUAGAAAAUGGGGCAGAGCUGCAAUAACACCACAGUAGUACAAUAAAAAAUGAAAACUUAACAUCAUAUUAGUAUCAAGCAUAUAGUGAGUUUGAUUAAGCAUCGGACAUUUAUCAUACAUAGAUUCUUAGAGGCCAGGACAAUGGUUCAUCCAACCUUGUAAUGAACAUUUCAAACCACCUGCCAAUUAAGAGGUUUUCUUUAGUCCCUUAAUAAGAUGCAAAUCAAAAUGAAUGAAAGGAGGUACAAUAAGUCACAAAAUAAUAAUUAGUAGCAGUUCAAAUCUUGGAUUAAUUAGCAGCCCUCAAGUACGGAGAGGUUUUCCUUUAGCCUCUUAUGUAAUAGCUGACUAAAGCACUCAGUUAUUUUCAUCCAAUCGAGGUAUAUCAAACAUCUGAUUAAACCACAAACUACAGAGCUUUAUUAGAGUUUACACAAACAUGAAAAAUCUAACAAAGAGGAUUAGUUCAAUAAAACAUGUAGUGUCAAUGUAACAUAAUUAAGAUUAAGAGAUGACUGAUGCCAUACAAAAACUGUUUUCAGCAUAAGAACUCCAUGUACAAGUCUCGCAUUUUCUGUGUUGACAUUGAAUCCAAGUCCAAUUGCACUUCAGGACAAGAUCCUAAAAUGCAACAUACAAUAAAUUUAAACAACUGCACUGUUCAUAACCAAAUGAUACUAGCAUAGUAAUAUUUACAUGGUCACCUGCUGAAUGUGAAGCAAGGUGCCAAAAAGACUUGCUUCUUGGACAACUUGGGAAGGUUUCUUUGCUCUAACUCACUUCAGAAAACACACAUAUCACCAAAUGAAAAGUACCGUUAACAUCACAGUUAACAAACCCGAGCAAAUAAAAAAUAUGAAGCCAUUUUCUAACCUUGUUUGACAACCUAUUCAAUUCCCUUCAACAUGUACUUUUGAAAAAUUACAAGAACCAAGCAUUGACCCUGCACCAUAAAAAUCUUUCAAACAUACCCAAAUUAAACCAUUACAAGAACCAAACACAAAACAAGAAAUCAUUCAAGGCACCUCCAAAAUGUAAUGGAUUGGAAAUCAAUAUCAAACCAAUAUCACACAAAAUGGCAUCUAGUUAAUUAAAAAUUAUAUUAAAUAAAAAGAAAAUAACUAAACCGCUAUACCUUUGGCGCGUUGCGGGUUUGUGAUUGGGAAUUGAAUAGACGGGCCGAAGGAGAGUGAGCCGGAGCAGAUCGAGGCUAAAGGAGUGGGCUGCGAGAGAAACAAUUCGGUAUUUGUGGAGAUUUGGGGUUUUCGUGUUUAACCAGAUGAUCGGGAUGAGAAACCAAUCUAGAGCCUAGAGGGUGAUGACUGCAAGGUAAUUUCAGAGUUGGAGUAGGAGGUGGCAUCGAAGACUUUGUAGAAUAGGAGCGCAGAUUCGAGUCCACGAACGGAAGACGACAGACCGAGAGAGACGAGGCAGAAACGAGGGAGAAGCCCGGCACUAAUUUUUUAAUUAAUUAGGUUUAGGAAUUUGAAGAUUACCAAUUUUAAUUCUAACCGGCAAUUGUUCAAAAAAAAUUCUAAACGGCAAUUGUUCAAAAAAAAUUCUAAACGGCAACUGUACAGAAAUGUAAAUAUUGUUUUCAAUGCAUUAUUAUAAUGAGAAACAUAACAGUUCUAUAAUUGUAAGGGAGGAAAUAUGAUGAAAGACAUACGAAGAUUUGAUGGUCAUAUGUUGAGAAAAAUCCACAUUGCUGAUUGACGUAUUGCUUGUUCAAUAGAUCAACGCACGAAACUGCAACAAAAAUAAAAGAAUCAAUUUAUGAGCAGUUGGAAGAAUCAUUAUCCGUAAAAAAUUUGUUGAUUCAAAUAUAAACAAAUGAAACUGACUGUAAAAGAAAGGUAUACCGAAUGUUGCUCCAAACUAAGUUCAAAAUGAGUGUAGUUGUGGAAAUUCUGUGCAACACUCUGUUGAAGAGAUGUAAAAAGUAGAUCACACAAUAUUUACAUCACCGUAAACAAAGAUGUUGGAAGUGGUUUAUACAUAAAAUAUUAAAUUUGUACAAUCCAGAUACAAAGGAUUAAAACCUGUUUCCUUACAUAUAGACAAAAAAUAAUACAGUGAUUGAUUGGAUUCUACCACUUGCAUCUACCUCUCAAGUGGAACCAGCAUUUACAUACAAAAAACUAAUGAAUGCUGGUUUAUGUACAUGCAAAAAAUAUUAUGAAGUCCAGACCAGAGAGACAUUUACAUGGCAGGCAAAUAUUAGCAAUAUUGUUUGAUACAUAUUGACAAAUCUUUGCAGCUCAUGCCAAAAUUAAUGAAUGCUAGUUUAAGAAAUUCAUUUGGUAAUUGGUGAUGGUCCACCAAUUUCUGAUUCAGAACCAAAUCUUUGCAGCUCAUGCCAAAAAGUUUUUCACCACAUUUUUCAAUUAUCAAAGCAUUUAUCUCAUUGGUUUCAUCUUCGAGUAUCAGAUUCACCUUAUACCUACAUUUAAAAACCUAAUUUAAGAUCACAAUGAAAUAUUGAACAUUGAUCUAUUGGAUUCAUUCCGUUCUGCGGUCUAGAACGUUUGAGUAUAAGAACGAACUCUAAUGGGAAGCCUCAAGGCCUACAUCUAAGGCCCUACAAAGGCACCUAUUUGGGUUCAUUCUACCUCUCGGACUCGGGUAAUCAGAAGUAUAAUAGUUAUAAGACUCAUGCAAUCACGAGAACAAAUAUGAUGUGUUCGAGCACUGGUUUAGUUAUUGAUAGGAAGCCUCAAGGCCUACACCUAAGGCCCCACAAAGGCACCUGUCAUAACUAACACGGUUUCUCGGGUAUAUACAUAUAUACAACCAAAACUCGACAUCCAUUUCACAUCUGCCAUACUGAAGAUGGCAGUGGCACGCCUGAGCACCUAAAAGUUAACCUUGAUUGUGAGCCUCAAGGCCUACACCUAAGGCCCCACAAAGGCACCUCUCAAAGUUAACUCUGUCCUUCUCUUUCAGCCUUGCCCGACGAGACUUGCCCGACAAAGCCCGACAGUGAAGUAGAAGCCCGACAGCAGCCCUCAACCGGCGCCAACCUCCCGGGGAGCUGUGUGCUCGUCGGCCAGGAAACAUCCCCGACGGAAAUUCCUGACGCGAACACACAUUUUUCAAUUAUCAAAGCAUUUAUCUCAUUGGUUUCAUCUUCAAGUAUCAGAUUGACCUUAUACCUACAUUUAAAAACCUAAUUUAAGAUCACAAUGAAAUAUCCAAAACAAAAACAACCAUGAGAUAUUUAGGUGUUUAAAAAAAUAUCAAUAGUGAGAAUGAAAAAUUAUAUACCAUUGACAGAGCAAAAAAUUAAUUGAUUCUAAACUGAAAACUGCAAAGUAAAAAAAAAUGAACUCAUGGUAUAGACAGAAACAAAAUUGCAGCACAACAUGUUAAAUAUUACCAAGGUGUUGGAAUUUGGCUUGGGUGUUUUUGACAAAUUAGCUGCGCAGUUAUUGGGUCCUUAUGCAUUUGUUUUACACAGCUGGGGCAGACACUAUACCACCAAUCGUAACGUGUGUCAAAACGCUCCACAAAUGCUCUACAUAGAAAUGUCUCGUCUUGUAAUAUAUUUUGUCAUAUGUCUGUGAAACUGAGAACAAUCAUAUGCAUUCUUUUUAUUGAAGGUGUGAAAUCACAGUUGUAAAAUUUUAAGAGAACAUGAAAAGGCAUAAUCAAGUUUUAAACCUUGUACAAAUCUAGAUCCAAAAAAGCCAAUUCAUCACAGUUUGAUGUGAGUGAUGUAUAGAAGACGAGUGAGGACAAUAAGUAUAUAGUUGAUAACUUGAAAACUAUAUUGGUUCAGUCCAAGCACUAUUGGGAAUCCGUGAAUCAGAAACUUGGUUUUGGUCCAAGUAAAUACAAUACAUAAACAUAGAUACAAAAUAGUUUGGAGACAGUGGACUGAAUAUGGUUUGUGAAACCAUUUCAUAAAGGGUAUUAUCAACAACAUACUUAAAAUGAUAAGAUAAGAGAAAUUCAGCUUUUGUCCCAAACUUAUCGUUACUUAUAUAGAUAUCAGUUUUUGUUAAGUACAAUUCAUAUUUAAUUUUAAAUAAAAGUAUUUAAAAUAAUUUCUGACCGCACGAUGUACGAUGAAUGGACACGAUUUGAGGAUACCCGAGAGCCUCACAAAGAGGAUCCGGAGAUGAUCCUUAAUUAUAUAACUGUUAUCAAAUAAAUAAAGAAACAUAAUAUUUUUAAUUAAAUAUUAAAUGAUUAAGUACCUAAAACUCCCCAACCUUAUAGUGUCAUUUCAAAUUAGUUUCAACAUUUUAAACAUUCCAAACAAGUAUCCAACCUAUUGAAAUGUCACAUCUGUUAAGCCCCAGUUAAUAAUAACAUAGAUUCUAUUCAAAACGACCAAUUGGGUAUAUCAUGGUCAACAUUAAUAUUAGUUGGAUCAAAAUCUAAAUUUCAAACAUAGAUUAUAUAAAAUGGAAUCCCAUGAUCAAAUAAGUAUUGAUUGAAUAAAAAAUGAACUCAAAUUGAAAUUACAUUAGGAAGGCAAUCUCCUAACAAAGAAGAUGGUUAAGAAUUUAGUUACGGUUUCAAGGAGCUUGUUUAUGCUCAUGUGAUUUCCUCAUUCGCCGGUUCUCAACUCGUAAAGCUUUCAGCUCUUCUUUGUGAGCGGUGAAGAUGGUGGUGGCCACAUCAUGAUAGUCCAUACCAUUUCAGCAACCUCCAUGACCUUCUUCUCAAUGUUGGCGACUUGAGUUGUAGGUGGAAUUGGUGGUUUUGUGGUGGAAUUUGAGGUGAUGACAUGAAGGGGUGGUAAGCCCUAGCUAAUUUAAUAGAUUUUAAACUGGGGCUUAACAAAUAUGUCAUUUUCAAUAGGUUGAGUACUUGUUUGGAAUGUUUAAAAAGGUUGUGACCAAUUUAGAAUGACACUAAACGGUUGGGGGUUUUAAGUACUUAAUCCAAUAAUAAAUAACACCCUAUUAAUCUAUGGCUAAAUAAUUUCUAUGUUAACUAAUUAAUAUAUAAUCUUCAAAUUGUGUCUUAAAAAAUAGGGUCAACAGAGACAGUGGACUGAAUAUGGUUUGUGAAACCAUUUUAUAAAGGGUAUUAUCAACAACAUACUUAAAAUGAUAAGAUAAGAGAAAUUCAGCUUUUGUCCCAAACUUAUCAUUACUUAUAUAGAUAUAGAUAUAUGCAGAACAAUGGUUAUUUUAGAUUAACCUUGUAUUCAACUAGUAGAUGAACUGAUCCCUUUCAGUCUCACAUAACAAAGUAGUCCAUAUAGCUUGCAGUAAAGCUGGAAAAAGACUCACCAUCAUAUAGAAGCAACGCAUAGUCGGCGUUCGUCAUUUUUAAGAUUGGGAAAACUCAAACACAGCUAUUUCCUCCACACGACCACAUCGUUCCGAACCCUAACUAAAUCUUUGCAUGUCCAAAGUUGCCAAAUAAGAAAUCAUGUUUAUUUCAUGACGCAGACCCAUCUUUUUCGAUGACCUCCUUCUUCCUUUUAUCAUCCCUGCCCUCUCUCUCUGUUCUCGUUUCUUACUGGAGUUUGCAGCUCUUGAGGUCCCUAUUUAUACUUAUACAAUACUUGGUGAUUAAGCACCAGAUAAAUAUAUAUAAAGGGAUAGUCGGCAAUUGGAGAGGAGGAGCUGUCGACUUGAUAGAGAAGAACAAAUAAGGCAGAUACACCUAGCUAAUAGAUAAGGCUUGGGUUUUUCAUCAUCAUGCAGAGCACGAGCUUCAAGUGUUCAAGAAUCAAAUAGAUGGUGAAGGUGUCACUCAAAAGGAAAGAUGAAAACUGGUUUGCCACCUCCAAACUGGAGUGUUCUCCAAGUAGUCCUACUCAUUUAUCCUUUCAAAUUACAAGCACGCCCUUUCUUGCAUUUGGUCAUCACCUGUUGACCAAUAUGCCUAUAUAUAAUAAUUACAUACAUAUUAUACAUAUAUACAAGAAACCCAAUAACACAAUUAUAAAUAUAUUUCAGUAGAAAUAUACUUUCCAAAUCACAGUCUAUCCCCUUAAAUAAAUUUUGUCCUCAAAAUUUAGUUUAAGCACCUAAUCACUUGACAAGUCCGGAGUUUCUACCUUUGAUCGGACUCAAAUUUCCAAGUGUAUCCAUGGUUGUCAUGUAGAGUAAUGAUUCAUGUAACUCUCCAAGUCGGAGUUCAAAGUCUUAAGCUUAUAUUGAAUACACGUACUCAUAUUUAGAGUUCAAAGAAGGCACUUGUGUAUCCAUCGUCUUCACUUGCCUUAUCUGUCUCAUAGGUAGAUGUGGCAUCUUCUCUGGAAGUACUCUUCCUCCAUCCAGGGGUGGUAUCUUUAACUGGUGGAGAUGCACAAGGUAAUGUAUCAAUUUCACUUGAAGCUUACUUGUAGUUUCAGGUUUGGUCAAGCGCGAUACAAACCAUGUAGUAGGAGUCCCCCAAGUCGCCGAGCUAGGGGAUCUGCGAAAGAGGUGACAAACAAGGUAAGCAACCAGUCCCAGAUCAGAAGUUUGAUUUCGAGUUCCGACUGAUUGUUCUCAUUCUCCCUAUCUUGCAGGCAGCAUGAAGGAUAAAGAGAAGAAAAAUGAGAAGAGAUGAUAUGAGAUACUUUUGCUUUUGAAGAAGUAACUUUCCACAGGCUUAUUCUUGAACUGGGUUGGAGGGUUUUCUGGUUUCCUCCAGAGUAUAAGGCCGACUGAAGAAUUUGAGGGUCAAAACAAGUCCAUCAAAUCUAGAGUACGUUCGACCCUGCUGAUAUGGGAUACUUUUGCUUUUGACAAAGUAGUGGAUGUAUCGGCAUGUGUGCUGUUACACUUGUCUCCACAUGCUUCCUUGUAUCCUUCUCACUUGCCCUAUCUGUUCCUCAAGUAGAUGCGGUAUCUUCCCUGGAAACAUAAGAUGUUGAAGAUGAGUACUCGAGAGCAAUGCCAGGUAAGUAAUCAGGUAAGGGGUUCCAAGCAGUCAGUUCCUGACUGGAAGCUUGAUUCCAAGUGUUGACUGAUUGCUCUCUUUCUCCUUGUAUUGCAGGUAAGAACAAGGCCAAAGGAAAAGACAGGGAAAAAGCAUGAUAUGGGAUACUCUUGCUUUUAACCCUGAUGAUAUGAGAUAUUCUUGCUCCGGUAUAGCUUGUUUACAGAGGUAUUAUCGGGGGGAAAGAAAGCUAAAUAUUUCGAAAGGCUUCGUUGGGAGUGCCCUCUCAGAUAUGAGAAAGGGUUGAGCAUUUUUGCAGGUCUGCCUGUCCGUUGGGGAUGGAGGUCGACAUAUAUAGGAGUCUCCCUAACAACAAGUAGUAAUGUUAUUCCUUUACCCUGCUUGGUCAUAGCACGGUAGUGGGAGCUGCCAGCUUCACAUGUUUUAACUCUGUCAGAGCACUUUGAAAAAGUGGUCUGUGGUAUCUGGAAAGCUGAUGUUGCAUGUGAAGAUUACAGACAAGCAAUCCUGUUGGGGAUCUGGCUCUCGAGAUUCGGAGAACGAUGCCUCUUCGAUUUUUUAGAAAGCAAUCCUGCUGGGGGUCUGGCUCUCGAGAUUCGGAGAGCGGUGUCUCUUCGAUUUUUUAGAAAGUAAUCAUGUUGGGAGUCUGGCUCUCGAGAUUCGGAGGGCGGUGCCUCUUCGAUUUUGGAGCAAGCAAUCUUGUUGGGAGUGUUUUCUCGAAUGUGAGUAAAGGUUGGGCAUGUUUGCUAGUCUACCUUGCCACGGAGCACAGAGGUUGACACAUAGGGACUUUCCAAUUAUCCAGCAGUGGUAUUGUUCCUUUACCCUUGUGGGUAAUAAUAUGGUAGCUAGACCUUCAAAAUUUAUGUGUCUAAACUUUGUUAGUGCUGUUUCUUUGCUAUUCUUUUACCCUUCUUGGUCAAAGCGAUGUAGUGGGAGCUGCAAGCUUCACGUGUCUUAACUUUGUUAGAGAAUUUUGGCAAAGUUAUCUGUGGUACCCAUGAGCUAAUGUUGCGUGUGGAAAGUGGGUGAUUGAACAGUAAGAUUUAUGUGCUUUCUACUUCACCAGAAAUCUUCGACAGAAUGCCCGUAAUUUCUGCAAAGCUGAGUGUAUGUGUGACAGGUGCUGACAAGGCUGAAAAAGUAGGUGCCUCUUCGAUUUCUGAGAUCGGUCUUCGUGGUCUCUGAGCAGCCCAGCUUUUGAGAAAGCAAGCGCCUCUUCGAUUUCUGAGAUCGGUCUUCGUGGUCUCUGAGUAGCCCAGCUUUUGAGAAAGCAAGCGUCUCUUCGAUUUCUGAAAUCGACCUUCGUGGUGUUUGAGCAGCCUAGCUUUUGAGAAAGCAAACGCCUCUUCGAUUUCUGAAGCUCCGUCGAGUGCAGAUUUUAUAGAGGUUGGCAUUAAGUUCCAAAUCACACUUGAAUCUCCACCAGUAGAAGCUCUAUUUUUGCACUUCUAAGAUCUUGAUUUGUCCGACCUCUUCUCUCUUCAACACCUUUGAAAAUGUUUGGCCCCUCCGACCGUCGUUUUGACUUGAACCUUGUUGAAGAGGCAGCCACGCCUUAUCCAGACAACAUAUGGCGCACAUCCUUCGUCUCCCCUACUGGUCCUCUUACCGUUGGGGAUUCUGUGAUGAAGAAUGAUAUGACCGCUGCGGUGGUGGCCAAGAACCUUCUCACUCCCAAAGAUAACAGACUACUUUCCAAACGGUCUGAUGAGUUAGCUGUUAAGGAUUCUCUGGCUCUCAGUGUUCAGUGUGCAGGUUCUGUGUCUAAUAUGGCCCAACGCCUAUUUGCUCGAACCCGCCAAGUUGAAUCAUUGGCGGCUGAAGUGAUGAGUCUCAAACAGGAGAUUAGAGGGCUCAAGCAUGAGAAUAAACAGUUGCACCGGCUCGCACAUGACUAUGCUACAAACAUGAAGAGGAAGCUUGACCAGAUGAAGGAAUCUGAUGGUCAGGUUUUACUUGAUCAUCAGAGGUUUGUGGGUUUGUUCCAAAGGCAUUUAUUGCCUUCGUCUUCUGGGGCUGUACCGCGUAAUGAAGCUCCAAAUGAUCAACCUUUGAUGCCUCCUCCUUCUAGGGUUCUGUCCAGUACUGAGGCUCCGAAUGAUCCCCCUCCGGUGCCUUCUCUUUCUGGGGCUCUACCGACUGCUGAGACUUCUCCUAAGCAACAUUUGUGAAGGCUCCCUCUUGUUUGUUUAUUUUGACUCAUGUAUAUGUACAUAUUUGUAACUUAUCGGGGAUAUCAAUAAAUAAGCUUUGCUUCAUUUCAACGUAUUGUGUUAAAUACACCAAAGCCUUCUUCGCUAAGUUCUUUGAAUUUUUCUUUUGUUGAAGCUUUUGUGAGUGGAGCAUGUAGGUUGAGGUAGUGUUCCCUUAAUUUCCCGAGUGAGGAAAACUUCUCGGUUGGAGACUUGGAAAAUCCAAGUCACUGAGUGGGAUCGGCUAUAUGAAUCUUAGAACGCCAUUGUGCUCGGUCCUGUGUCAUGUCCUCCGUUAGAUCCAAGUACUCUAAGUCUUUUCUUAGAGUCUCUUCCAAAGUUUUCCUAGGUCUUCCUCUACCCAUUCGGCCCUGAACCUCUGUCCCAUAGUCGCAUCUUCUAAUCGGAGCGUCAGUAAGCCUUCUUUGCACAUGUCCAAACCACUGUAACCGAUUUUCUCUCAUCUUUCCUUCAAUUUCGGCUACUCCUACUUUACCCCGGAUAUCCUCAUUCCUAAUCUUAUCCUUUCUCGUGUGCCCACACAUCCAACGAAGCAUCCUCAUCUCCGCUACACCCAUUUUGUGUACGUGUUGAUGCUUCACCGCCCAACAUUCUGUGCCAUACAGCAUCGCCGGCCUUAUUGUCGUCCUAUAAAAUUUUCCCUUGAGCUUCAGUGGCAUACGGCGGUCACACAACACGCCGGAUGCACUCUUCCACUUCAUCCAUCCAGCUUGUAUUCUAUGGUUGAGAUCUCUAUCUAAUUCUCCGUUCUUUUGCAAGAUAGAUCCUAGGUAACGAAAACGGUCACUCUUUGGUAUUUCUUGAUCUCUGAUCCUCACCCCUAACUCAUUUUGGCCUCCAUUUGCACUGAACUUGCACUCCAUAUAUUCUGUCUUUGAUCGGCUUAGACGAAGACCUUUAGAUUCUAACACUUCUCUCCAAAGAUUAAGCUUUGCAUUUACCCCUUCCUGAGUUUCAUCUAUCAACACUAUAUCGUCUGCGAAAAGCAUACACCAAGGAAUAUCAUCUUGAAUAUGUCAUGUUAACUCAUCCAUUACCAACGCAAAAAGGUAAAGACUUAAGGAUGAGCCUUGAUGUAAUCCUACAGUUAUGGGAAAGCUUUCUGUUUGUCCUUCAUGAGUUCUUACGGCAGUCUUUGCUCCUUCAUACAUAUCCUUUAUAGCUUGGAUAUAUGCUACUCGUACUCCUUUCUUCUUUAAAAUCCUCCACAAAAUGUCUCUUGGGACCCUAUCAUACGCUUUUUCCAAAUCUAUAAAAACCAUGUGUAAAUCCUUUUUCCCAUCUCUAUAUCUUUCCAUCAAUCUUCGUAAGAGAUAGAUUGCCUCCAUGGUUGAGCGCCCUGGCAUGAACCUGAAUUGGUUGUCCGAAACCCAUGUCUCUUGCCUCAAUCUAUGAUUAAUGACUCUCUCCCAGAGCUUCAUUGUAUGACUCAUUAGCUUAAUACCCCUAUAGUUCAUGCAAUUUUGUACGUCGUCCUUGUUCUUGUAGAUAGGCACCAAAGUGCUCGUUCGCCACUCAUUUGGCAUCUUCUUCGUUUUCAAAAUCCUAUUGAAAAGGUCAGUGAGCCAUGUUAUACCUGUCUCUCCCAAAACUUUCCACACUUCGAUCAGUAUAUCGUCUGGGCCUACUGCUUUUCUAUGCUUCAUCUUCUUCAAAGCUACAACCACUUCUUCCUUCCGGAUUCGACAAUAAAAGGAGUAAUUUCUACACUCUUCUGAGUUACUCAACUCCCCUAAAGAAGCACUCCUUUCAUGUCCUUCAUUGAAAAGAUUAUGAAAAUAACCUCCCAUCUGUCUUUGACCGCGUUCUCUGUAGCAAAAACAUUUCCAUCAUCAUCCUUGAUGCACCUCACUUGGUUUAGGUCCCUUGUCUUCUUUUCCCUUGCUCUAGCUAGUUUAUAGAUAUCCAACUCUCCUUCUUUGAUAUCUAGUCGCUUAUACAUAUCGUCAUAAGCCGCUAACUUAGCUUCUCUCACAGCUUUCUUCGCCUCUUGCUUCGCUUUUCUAUACCUUUCACCAUUUUCAUCUGUCCUAUCAUUGUAUAAGGCUUUACAACAUUCCUUCUUAGCCUUCACCUUUGUUUGUACCUCCUCAUUCCACCACCAAGAUUCCUUUUGGUGUGGAGCAAAGCCCUUGGACUCUCCUAAUACCUCUUUUGCUACUUUUCGGAUACAACUAGCAUGGAAUCCCACCUUUGGCUAGCUUCCCCCUCUCUAUCCCACACACUUGAUGAUUACUUUCUCUUUGAAAAUGGCUUGUUUUUCUUCUUUUAGAUUCCACCAUCUAGUCCUUGGACAACAAAUUUGAAAUGCUUUCUCUGAAUAGAGAAGAUGGUCACAUCCACCUCCAUAUGUAAUCUAUCCGUUUUGAUUAUUUAGGUUUUCAUUUAUUCCGGAUUUCUAGCCCCUAAUUUAUUAAUCCUUCAACGUCUAUUUCUUUACUUUUGUAUAUAAAUAUAAGUCCCAAGUAUCAAUGGAAUAUAUAGAGUAUACUACAAGUUUAUAUAUAAUUUUUUAAAUUAAGUUUUGAAAGCAACAUAUCGAAAGGGUGCAAGUUUGAAGGUUCUUCCAUUGUGCAAAGAAGAACCUUAUCAAAAGAAGGUUCUGGACUGUUUUAUCCUGGGGACGACGUGGUGUUUAUGAACUGCUUGCACACUUUGGGCAGAGCCGUGAAAUGUCUUAAAGAGAGUGACGUAGUCCGCGACUCAUCCCAUGAAUCAUUCACCACUCAAAGCUUCUACAUUUUUUCGGGUAACUUCGUUCAUUUCUAUUUCAGUUUACAACAAUUUUAGUUAAAAAGCAUUACCAUUUUAGUUAAAUUUAAUCCCUAAUUGAUCUGACUAACCACCCAUAGGGGUGGGAAAUUUUGCCAUAAACCGAUUUACCGACCGAACCAUACCGGUCGGCUCAUAAUGGUAUGGUAUAGUUUUGGCAUUUUUUCAUAAUCGGUUGGCAUUUUACCGAACUAACAAUUAAUGGCAUGGCUUUGGUAAUUGAUUUUGUAUGCCGGCGGUAUGCCAUACCUACCAAUAUAUAUAUAUAUAUAUAUAUAUAUAUUUUUUUUUUUUUUUCUAUUUAGAUAUUUUAGGUAUUUUUUAUAUGUUUGACUCCUUAGUUUUAGGGUUUAAAAAAUAUAUGUAUAUAUAUAUGAUUCAUGCCAUAAUAAAUAUAGAAAAUAUUGUUAACAAAAUUGAUAGCAUGAUGAUUAUUGAUACUAUAUAUACACGUACAUAUAUAUGAUUUUGAAUGUAUAUGCGUUGCUUAUGUUUAGGAUGAUGGAGUCUAGCCAAUCAACCGUUAGUGCACAACAUGGAUUAACCCAAAAUGAACCACACAAAGCAACUGUCACAUCCCCGCCCGAGGCGGAUCACUUCCCGAGCUCGCUCCACCACCAUAGCACGAUAUUGUUCACUUUGGGCUUACUAUUCCCUCACGGUUUUGUUUCUGGGAACUCACGAGCAACAUUCCGACUUAUGUGCUAGCAAUGAUUGAUGAGAUAUGAUACAGUCGUACAGAUCACUAGAGGUGAUUUCGACUUAUGUGCUAGCAAUGAUUGAUGAGAUAUGAUUACAGUCGUACAGAUCACUAGAGGUGAUUCCGACUUAUGUGCUAGUAAUAAUUGAUGAGAUAUGAGUACAGUUGUACAUGUCACUAAAGGUGACUCUGACGUGCGUGCUAGUAUGAGUUAUUAAACACAUGAUUUUUCAUAUGCUAAUGAGAUGUUGUGUCGUGGUAUAUUUCUGGACUUACUGUUAGUAUACAUUUGAUUUCAUACUCAUACAUAGUAUCAUUUCUGUAAAUUAUACAUACUCUACGGCGAGAGAUUACUACCUUGAUAAUUGAAUUGAUUUUAGAAAUCCUUGUGUUGCUCACUCACACUUUCUAUUUUUGCUCCCCUCCAGAUUCUAGUAGCAAAGUUCGGUAUCGACGAGGAUUCAUGGUACUUCUUGGUUCGAGCGACUUCUUAUGAUGGUAUAAUUGUUACCUUACCUUGUUGUACUUUACUUAUGCUCUAUAUCACGUGUGAAUGGGUUCAUUUCCGCUCACAGUGCACUCUUGUAUUUUAGGCACCUUUAGGUUUAAAUUUAUUCACAUAUUCCACAUCACCACACUUUAUGGCUUCAUCACCUUCUAGGUGUCGGCCAGCACAACUCGACUCGAAGUCGAAGUGGACUAUCCGGGUCGGGGUGUGUCAGCAACCGAACAAGCAUCCCAAUCUGAAAAUCAAAUUGAGCCCUUGGAACUGGAAGAUAGUGAGGAAGAAGUGGAAACUACCGGUUGUGCCAUUUACCAACCGAACCAGCCAAUAAUUUUGGCUGAACCGAUUUUUGGCAACCGCAAGAAGACGAUUGGCUAGCGGUAAUUGAUUUUCGGUAAUUAUGUAUAUGUGGCUGGCAGGUGGCACAAGAAAUUUGGCACGGUUUGCCAACCGAACCCAGCCCUAACCACCCAAAAAGGAUUAUCAUACAAAAUGUCUGCAAAUAGAUCGAAUACUAAUAAUGAAAAUUAAUCCUUAAUGCUUCCAUCUGACUACAUGAUAGUAUUUUGUGGCUAAACAUAGUUUUUACGCGAUCAAAUAUUUACCAACUUACAUUGACAAAUUCAUUCUCCUUCAUUUGAACAUCAAAAGCCAAAUCACACAUGGAUCCCCAAACUUUAGCUUUACCAUUACUAAUCCUCUUGCUUGGGCAUUAAAAAAAAUCAUCAGCAAACAUGAAUCUUAUUAUAUACCAACUCAGGAUGUUAUCAUAAAAAUCAAUUGAUACGAAGAGUAGAGCUAUUAAAGACCUUCCAAAUUUUAUCAAGUGUUACAGAAGUAAUAUAUUUUGUAUGCAGAAAUUCAAAGCACGCAGAGAUCUCAAGUCAAAAACAGAGGUACCCAUCUUCUUUUGUUCGAUUUUUGCUUUGUUUUAUCUCUGUUUUCAUUUUUGGGUAGGAUUGUGCUUUAUAAUUGGGUUUAAUGUGAAAUUUUUGAAGCAGCUAAAUCUCAUUCAGUUCUGUUUGAUUGAUUGUUUAUCUAUGAUUUGUUCUGUUAUGCUUGGUGCUUGGUAUGUUUAAAUUGAAUUGGAUUUAUAUUUGAUUUCAAGUUGAUUAAUUUUUUUUUUUUUUGUUGUAAAUCAUAUUAGUUGCUGAUCAUGAAACAAUUUCAUGUUUGGUUUAAGAGAAUAGGCUUGAUUCAGUGAGAUUUGGAUUCAUGAGUUAUAGCCAUCUGAGGUAGGCAAGAGUGUUUGCAUUCCUUAGAAAAAAAUUGGGAGCUACAAAACUAUGCUUUAAAUUUGAGUUUUGUGAUUACUAUUUUUGAUCUUUAUCUACUCUAGCUAUACAAUUCUUCCAUGUUUUUCAGAUCAUGGAAUGAGUUUCUCAUGCUGAGAUUGUAACCCAAUCAAUAAGUAAGUGAAACACAGAAGUUCUAUAUCGCAUGUUAGUUGUGAUCAAUUUCUAAAAAUCCGAUGUAGUGGAUUGUUAUCUUAUUGGUUACGCAAAACGAUUAAGGUUUUAUGUUUUUUAGGAUCAUAAACAUACCAUAAGUAGGAAUAAUUACAUAGAACGUGAGGACAAUGGUGUGAAUAAAUAAUUUGUUUUGAAGAAGGAGAGUUAAUUAGUAGUUAAACACACCAAUGUUGUAAACCUACAGACUAGUCAAAUAGACCAAAAGAUGAUGUAGACGAUAUCGAAUAAGAAGAAGAUCAAGAUGGAAUCUCUAUAGAAGGCCCUACAACAGAACAAGAGCCAAAGAGGUCUGAAGGUAAAUAAAGUCAUCUAUAUGAUUCAAUUUUGUGUACUAAUAAAGAGUUAUUUCUAGUUCACAUUUUGGAAGAGGGUUGAAGCUAUAUAAACUAAAUUAGAGUUCAUGAAAAACAAUAAAGCGUGGGACUUAGUGGAACCAAAACAAGGUAUUGGGUCAAUAGGACGUAAGUGAGCGUUUAAGACUAAGAAGGAUUGAAGGGGCCAAAAACCUUGAGAUAUGUAUCUGUAUAUUAAGGAGGUUGAGUUUCGAUGACAAAAUUCUCUUUACAGGGAAAGAAUAUAUGUACUUUUCGGUUCUUGCUUAAUGUAUGAAUUGUUUUGGUUGAUUGUCUUGAAAGUUGAUUCUCUUUUACAGCAAACUGGGAUUUUAAACCAAGAAAUUUGGAGGUUUUAAAGAAGUAGGGCUUAGUAAUGCUUAAGGGAUUAUAGUAAGAGAAAAGGUGAGAAAGCUCAUUACUGUUAGCAAAUUAUGGCUAAAGUAGUUGUGCUAUUAGAAGUUGGACAAAAGAAAUUUUAGAGCCUUGAAGUAUUCAAGAGAUUUGAAAGAGUAGAGAUUAAGUAUAGGCCAUAUGCAAAAGAAAAUGUUGUGUUAUCUCAAGGGUCAAUAUAAAAACACAUACUAGUUUUCAAGAGGAAAGAAAAGUUGGAAACAAAUGGUUUAUUCAGAUUCCAAUUUUGGUAGAUUAUAUACUUCUAAAGUCAAUUUCUAGUUUUGCGUUUGUAUUAGAAUUGGAGGUGCAAUAUUAUAGACAAAUGUUAUGCAAUCAAUAGUUAUUUUUCUGUACUAUGUAUGUAUACUUAAUUCGUGGAUGUUGUGGAGCUCUAACGCAUGCAGGGUAGUUAAAGUUUUCUCCAUACCGGACGCCCUCAAUAUUUGCUAGAAAGAGGAAGAGUGAGGAAAUGAUAUACAAGUGUUGAUUAUAUUCACACUACAGAUAUGACUACAUAUAUAUUAAUAGAGUUAUUCCUCAGUUAGUUUCUUUAAAGCAUGUCACUAGAAUGGGAGAGUUAUCAAGCUUUAAAGAUGCCUAAAAUUAGUGGGAGCUAUUUUGCUUUUCAAUUAAAAAUUCAUGGAUAUGCAUUAAGGAUUGAUGUGUUUUAUUUCUAAAUACUUGUCAUUACAGCAAGCCAAUUUUGAAGAUUGUCUUUUCGACAUAAGGGCUUAUUUUAAGCAUUAAGGAAGAUCAUGUUGUGAUCGUAAAGAGGACCAUAUAUGUGUUUAGUGUGAUACUCACCCUUAAGCCUUAAGCACACUUAUCAUAUAUAUACGUUUGUCCACAACUUGUUGGUACUUUAUGUGAAUGUUGUUGCUUGUAUGUGAUUAUAGAGGUACACAUCCGCCAUAUUGGAUAUCGUAGUCUAUAGUCCUACGAGCUAAUGAUAUUUGACACUAAGUUUGAAUAGAUAUUGCUAUCAAAUAAUCUUCCAAAGUUGCGCGCAUCAAGAAAUUUAUUCAUGAUCCAAAGAGCUUCUUGAAUAGAUGUCACGUCCAAAGAGCUUCCUAAUUGUGAAACAAAUUCGGAGGUAAUUCUUCAUUCCAACUGACAAAGGAAAAAGAAAAUAAAGGAAAAGGCCAUUGCGAAGUGAAAUUCUCAUUCCUACACUAGUUGGUAACAUUAGUAAUAUUUCUCAUUCCUAUACAACUACGGGUUGUGUGAUGAGUUUUUUUUUUUAAUCAAACCUCGACUGUACGAGGGAUAUUUUAUUGAUAACGAAAAAAAGUUAUAUCUAGUCAGGGGUGGACAUAAACCUUACCCCUCAUAAUACCAAGAAAAGGAGAAAAAGAACAUGAAUAAGAAGGGGAGGACAUAAACCUUACCCUCUAGAGGGGGGGGACAUGAAACCUAACCCCUCUAAAGUCAAACCUAAAAGGUCUAAAACUUGCAAAACAAGUCAAACAAUAACACCACAAGGUUAGGAAAAAACAAGAAAUGAAGACAUACCUGCAUGGCGAGAUGCACAUUAGUUUGAGAAGUGGAAGCCAGGCAUGCCUACAUAGUCUGAAAACAAAGCAUCACGAGCGGGCGGGGGAGGGGAGUCAUGCCACACCAAAGUUGGAGAAAACAAGUCCAUGUUAGCAAAUUUAUUUGCAACAACAUUUCCUUCACGAUAUAUGUGAGAGGCGUAAAAGGCCAUAUUUCGAAUGUGGUCCAGACAAAUAGACAAUUGUGUACGAAGAGGCCAAGGAGGAUCAAAAUCGGUUGAUUGGAUAGCAGAAGAGUCACAUUCCAACCAAAGGCAAUGCUAACCCAGCUGAUAUGCAAACUUGACACAAUAAUAGUUGCUGAUAAUUUUGCAAAAAAUGAGUUGCAAUGACCAAUCCAUUGACAAAAACCACCAAGAAACUAACCAUGGCAAUCCCUAAAAACUCCUCCACAUAAAAUUAUAAAUGAAGUGUGAUGAGAAUAUAAGAAUCUAAUUAAGGUGAAUGGUGAGUUACAUUUUGGAUUUGUAUAACCAUCAAUGUUUCUAUGCUGAUUUCAUUAUUAUGUGAUUUUCAGUUAAAGACUAAUUUUGUUUUCCUAUCAUGUUCACUUAGAGGUGUUAUGCUAGAGUUGGAAGGCACUAUAGUGGUAGAAUUGCAAUCCGCUUGACAUGGAAAGGUAGUCUCCAUGCAACCACUCUAACCAAAUACUUUACUAAUGCUUUUCAACUAUUACAAUAAUAUUUGUGAUAUAUUUUUUUACGUCUUUUAGAUUUGUUUACCUUACGAAUGCAACGAUUAAGGUGUUACAAAUUUCGAGGACGAAAUUUAUUUGAAGGAGGGUAAAUUGUAAUACCCCGUAUUAAAAAAAAUAUAUAUGUAUAUGUGUGUGUGUGUGUGUGUGUGUGUCUAAGUAAUUAUUUUUAUUUCAAAUGUAAUAACUGUAUUGGAUUUCUUUAUAUACGUUAUGAGUACAAAAAAAACCCUCGUAUUUUUGGCAUGUAAGUUAGUAGGAAUUCUUUCACUACAAGAUUAAAUUAAAGCGUGGCUAGUACUUUUAAGGCCCCGCGUGACGAGUUUUGCCCGACUAUGCUUUUCUGACGAACCUAUGUCGGGUAAAGUUUCCAGCGAUGAGUCCUCCUUUUAGCCAACAAAGAUUUUCCCUCUGGCAAAGUGGUUUUUUUAUUUUUUAUUUUUUAUGUGUGUGUGUGUAGUGUGUACUGGAGAUAUGCAUGUAGCUGCUUGAAUUUAGUUGAUUGUUGUUAUCAUUCAUUAUUGUGUUUACACCUCUUGAGAAAAAUAAUUUAUGCAGGAUUUUUGCCCAAACGAUGUCUGAAUUUGCAUCACAUGUCAAGAGACAUGCUAGUUUGAUCAAAAUAGGGACUAGUAGUGGGGCCCACUUCACAUCGAACAUCACCGAUCGGAACCGUUUAUUUUUCAAGUUGCAUUUUAUAGAUUGUCCUUGCAAAAUAUUAGCCAAAUCGAAGAUGUUCGAGGCAUCUAGUUGAGUUCAAAGAAAUUGAAGAACACUAUGUUCCUUUUACACUAUUGGUACCUUCUACAACUCCAUAAAAAUCUGUUUGAAGCUACAAUAAAAAGAGAAAUUAUUGUUCGGCUUAACGAUUCACUGCCUUCGUCAGAACCCAAGAAUCACUUGUAAGCUACGGUUUGUAUUUUAAUUGUUUUAAUCAACACAACAGUUUGUACGGUUUGUGUUGUUGUCUUAAUCAUAAGCUAUAUGGUGUGGAAAAUGUGUGUAGCUCUCAUAAUCAACACACUAGUUGAUACUUGUGUAGCUUGUUGCUACAGUUGGUAUGUUUAGGUUAGAUAGUUUUCAUUGUUUUAGCAAGAAUAGAUUAUUUUGCAAUGCACACACUGUGUUUGUUGAAAGCCUAUGUGGUAAAUUUGCAUUUGGUGGUUUUGUUUUUUAUUAAGGUACGGCCAAUUAGGUUCAAUCGAUUCGGUACAGUCAGUUAGGUACGUAGGAUGUGAAGCACAGAUGGAAACAUUGUAAGUAGAAUAGGAUGUGAUGUGAAGGUGGGGGAUGAAAUCUCAUUGCAAAAUAAUGUAAUGUGCAUCGUAGCUAGGUAGGGAUUGAGGAUAUGGCCUAAAAUAUUUGCUGGCUGUGAAGUGCCAUCAUUUUUUUUAAUUUUUAUAUGGUCAUUUAGGUCUGGUCGAUUCGGUAUGAUCAGUUAGGUACGUUACUUAGGAUAGGUUCAAUCAUUUCGGUACAGUCAAUAAGGUACGGAAAACUUAUGUUUGAUUCCAAACAACACCUGAUGACUUAUAUUUGAUUCUGAACAACACCAGAUUAACCAUUGCUGCAAUUGAAAAGCUUAUAUAUGUUUGCUCAGUUCUCUGAGCUUGACAAUGAUUUUUACAACAAUGGGUUGCCUUCAAAUCCAACACCAAUCAACAAUCCUAGAUUGGAUUAAGGGUUCAAAAGCGUGGAAAUUGCCAGUCAAUAUCACAACAACUGUAGGUGUAGUUGACGAUGAGUAAUAAAACUAAAAUCACCAAAAAAAACAUAGUUCUAUCGAUUUCAGGUUCAGUAUAUAGAAAAGAAGCGUGAACAUCAUCAUCAGCAGAGAAGGAGGAAAAAACUUCAUUGCCUCCAAAGAUGGGGGAUGCCAUUGUAACCGAAAGAGGAGAGAUGUGAAGAAUCAAUACAUACAAAACAUUAAAACAUUGAUUUGUACCCAAGGGUAACUAGGGAAACUAAAACUACAAUAAUUCUAUAAAAAAUUUGAUUAAAUAUGACAUGGAAUACUAGAAUCUGACGUGGAGGACUAUUUUUAAUUUUUAAUCUUCCAUACGGUAUUACUGAAAAAAUAAACUUAUUUAGGGAUUAAAAUGAAUUCUAAAUAAGUAUAUACUGUUCUCUUGUUAAGACCAUUUAAUAUGUUAUCCUAUUAAAUCGUUAACAAGAAUAUUUAGACAUGACCAUACACCAUCUAUAUAUAAAACAAGAAUGUUCCAAGUGAUGAUUUGGAUCUUCCUCUUACACGUAAACGAGUACUUAAUUAAGUUUUAGAAUAAUUAAUACAUGUUACCAUCUCAAGCCAAAAAUCAAUAAGAAAUAACGGGUGCGAAGUAGCAAAGGUUUCUGAAUUUUACCCCAUGUUUAAUCUUCGUCCCUAAACUCUAUUAAUUUUUCUCAUCUUCCAACUUAACUAUGUUUUAUAUGAGUAGUCCUUUUCGUCAAAUUUAAAGGUAUAAUGGUAUUUUCAUACAACAACAAAAUCUAAAUUAUUUAAAAAGAGAAUAGCUUGGCUCCUUAAGGUUAAGGAGGAGUUCCUCCUCAAAAGACUUCGUGGCCUAUUCACAAAAUUUCAUGCUUAUGAUCGGAACCGUUCAUAUUAUAGAUCACUAUGUAAAGAUCAUCUCUGCAAAAAAUAAAUUAAAACUAAAAUCGUUUAGUCAAUCCUUAAGGAGUUUUGAUCAGAAGCUCGAAGUUCUGUAAAUAGAUCACAAGUUAUUUUAAUGAGAAGUUCCUCCUCAAUCCUUGAGAAGCCAAGUCUUGUCUUUCUCUCUCUUUUUGUUUUUGUUUUUUUUUUUUUAACAAACAAUACUAUCUACAUUAAGGGAGAGUAAGCCUCACAAUGGACUAGCAAUAAUGUGGCUCAAAUUCGCCUUUUGUGAGAAUCGAACCUAAGACCUCUCAUUUACAAGUGAAGAUAAAUACCACUUAGACUGUAGUACUAAGUGACAAGUCUUUCCCUUUAAAAACUUCAUUUUUUUUUUUGGAUGAAACUCCUUUUUUUUUAUAAUGAAAUUCCUAUUUUAUCUCUUAACUUAAUGGAAAAGUUGACAGAGUUAACGAAAAAGACUACGCAUGUGACCCUUUAACACAGUGGUGGAAAAGAGUUGAGCCCUUGCAUGAUGAAGUGGGUUCGAACUCCGUUGGUGGCUAAUCUAAUAUCUAAUCUAAUAAAAAUCUAUUGUUUGACAAGAAAAAAAAAACGAAAAUGACUACUAGUGCAUCAAAUGACAUAAUUGGAGGACGAGGGAAACUAUUAGCAGAGUUCAGGGACGGAAACUAAACAUGUGAUAUAGCUCAAUGACCAUUGCUACAAUUUAGUCAGUAACAAUUAUUAUAUUUUUUUAAGAAGAAACAACUUGUUUAGGGAUAACUAUAAGGGAAAUUUUAUUUGAACCCAUAUUUUGUAUCUCAACACCCAUCUUACUUUCUAUACCCACAUUGUAUUUGAUUUAUCUAUCAUUAUCUCUUUACACCCAACAUUAUUUUCGAAACCGCCCUUACUUAUCAAAACUCAACUCAAUCAAACUUUGUUUUACACCCAACUCAAUCUACUUAAAAAUAAAAAAUAAAACCCUAACUAGUCCAUCAUCUCCAUGGAGCAAAGUCCCUUCUCUCUCUAAAAAAUCCUUCCAUCUCCUAUAAGUGUCAUUCUGCACCCCAUCUACUCUUGCGUAGUCAUCCAAACCUCUUCCUCUUGCUUUUCUUAAUCAUUUGACAUCUCUAAAUUUCUAGAGCACUAAUUAGCUUAAUAAUUGGUAUGUGUUCAAUCGAUUGGUUCAAUUUUUACGUAUUAAUUCCUUUUUCUUUUCAAUUAAAUGAGCUUCUGGUUAGAGUGUUUAAUGAGUUGGUAUGUUUUACUUAAUUGAGAAUCUUCUAGACUCUAUAUUCCUAUCUAUGGUAGAUAAAUGGGUACGUCCAUGAUAACUUUUGGUAGAUCAAUGAAUAUUUUUAACCGUGGAUAUAUAUAUAUAUAUUUUGUCGAAACCGUGAAUAUUUAUUAGAUACAAAAGUUGCGGACAACAAUUCACAUUACAUUGAACUGUGGCUAAAAAGUAUAUCGCCUUUGCACGUUUUAAGGGCGAACUCAUAGCUAAGCAGUUUUUAUUAAGGAGCAAAACUUCGGGAAUUGAUCUAACCUGGGUGUGUAAUUGAGUUUAUGCAUUUUGAUGAUUAAACUGAUAAAUAUUUCAACCACAUAUGGAUUUAAUAUCAUAGUAUCUUUUAGCUUCUAUAUGCCACAAAAGUUGCGGACAAAAAUUCACAAUACAUAGAAUUGUGGUAAAAAAGUAUAUCGCCUUUGCACGUUUUUUAGGUGAACUCAUAGGUAAGCAGUUUUUAUUGUUGACCAAAACUUCGGGAAUUAAUCUAACUUGAAUGUAUAAUUGAGCUUAUGAAUUUUAAUGAUUAAAUUCAUAAAUAUCUCGACCACAUAUUGUGAUAGCCCGUCCCGAACUAUUAUCAAUUAUGGCAUGAAAAGACUAUUUUACCCUUGGUCGUUAAUUUUGUUGUGUGGUGGUGUGGUUUAAGUUUAAGUUUUAGGACUUAAGUCUUUAUUUGUUGUGGUUGGUAGCCCAAAUUAGGACCACACACACACACACCCAAAGCAACCCCGUUGACCCUUCUCUCUCUCCUCUCUCGGUUUUCUUCCUUCGUCCGUACGAUUUGUACGGUCAACUCCAAACCAACUUAUUUCUUCACAGAUCGAGCUCAUAGUUAGCACUAUCAUCUUCAUCUCAUCGUCACGAGUCCAUCCAUACCUGUUUCAGAACUUGAAACCGUCGAAAACCCAAGACCCAAAAGACCCAAUCUUGAGCAUUGUUCAUGCACACGUAAAUGUGGUGUUUUUAGAAGAUUUUAAGGUUAUAGGAAGCUUUAAAACACUCUCACGAAGCUCGGAGAAGAAAGUUGAGGGUUUUUGGACGUCGGGAAGCUCGAGUUGUAGAGUUGGCCGGUUUUCUUAAAUUUCUCCGGCGAGAUCCCGUUGGUUUUAGGUUCCAAAAGAGGUAAGAAUGUGUUCUACUCAUCAUAAGCUUCAUUUUGGUAUAAAUUUCAUGAAUUUUGGUUGAGAAAUGGAAGAGAUAUGAAGAUUUGAAAAUUUUCCAGUUUCCGGCGAGUUGUAGAAGGCGGUCUCCGACGAGGUCCAUCGGAGAAGAAGGGAGAAUAUUCCGUCAAAGUUGACGGAAUAUUCCUAACGGCGACUGACGGCGUCAGGUUAGUUUUAACGGAAUAUGCUAUUAUUUUGACUGAAUAUUCCUUAACGGCAAUUAGGAUUCCAUCAGGGUUGGCCGAGCGUGGGGGCGCGUAGGGCCGUGCCCUUGCCAGCGCGUGGGGCAUCAAAAAAAAUUUCUAAAAAUAUUGGGAUGUUCCUGAGGUUGAGUAGAUCACGGUGGUAUAUUCAUAUACCCAAUUUGAGCAAUAUAUGAGAAGUUAUUACUUAGUUUUGUGUAUGUGCUUUAAAUGACGAUUAUAUAGUUGUUUCGCAUAUAAGUGAGACCUAUCCAGAGGACGAGCAUAAUCAAUCAAGGCUCGAGGGCUACGACCCUUCGACCUACCAAUGAGUGGGCUUUUGGUUUUCAGUAUAUAUAUAUAUAUAUAUAUAUACACACUUGAUGUUUUUCCCAGAAAACGUAUUAAAAUGAAAUGUGUUUGAAAUGUCAUGUCAUACUUUCAUUGUACUUUAGUAUAUGCAUUAGUAUAAAUAUGCAUAAUGUUGCAUGAUGCUGCGGAGGCCCAGGUAAGCCACAGGUGAGUACAUUAUGAUGUUAGUGAUUGUGAAUGGAAUGAUGAUGUUGAGAUAUAUUUGAGUUCAUAAACCUGCACCCCAGUGUUAGUGCUCCCGCCAUGGUUAGGGCACAUUCCUUCACCACUAUAGGUGGUUCCGACUCGUAGGUGACCCGCGAUUUAUCGCACAGUCUUCACGUGAUCGUAGCACUAGAGCGUAUUUAUUUACACCCAGUCCUGUCGUACAGACCACUAGAGGUGGUUCCGACUCGUGUGCAGGUAUACUUGUUGAGAUACAUGAUUAAGUUAUAGAUUGAGCCGUACAGGUCACAUGAGGUGACUCCAACUAGAUAGAUGAGCUCUAGAUUUCGCCGUACAGGUCACGUGAGGUGACUCCGGCUAGAUUGGUUAUUUGCAUUAGUAUUCACACCUGGCUUACUUAUGUUAUAUUGUGAUUUUGGACAUGGCAUAUCCAUAGCAUGCACAUAAGUGGAUUUUGAUAUACUGAGCAUGGUUUUUGAGAUACGUAUGUAUUCUAUUUUCUGGGAAAUUAUACAGGUUUUACGGCGAGGGGUUAGAACUUUUGAGAAUGAAAUGAUUUUGAAAAGCUUUGUUUUUGCCCACUCACGCUUUCUGUUUUUCGUCCCUCCAGGUUCUAGGUAGGAAAUCCUCGUUGGUGGCAUUGCGAGGGUUUCAAGAUAGUUCUGACAGACUACCAAAUGUAGGAUCACCUUCGGGUGUUGUUUAAUUAGUACUUUAUCCUACUUGACUGCAAUUAGGCUACUUAUGCUCUCGUUGUGUAUUUCACACUUAAUAUCGCUCUAGUACUGCUAGUAACUUGGUUUAAUUAUUCCUAAUUCUCUAUAUCAUUAUUGCUUCCGCACGGUGCACAUGGUUACGUCACCCUCACGUGACGGCCAUCAUGCCUAGAUUUCGGUCGGGGUGUAUCACAUAUGAAGUUAAUAUUGUAGUAUCUUUUAGCCUCUAUAUUGGUAUCUGUGGCAAAAAAAUGGGUAUCUCCAUGAGAAAAUUUUGUAGAUCGAUGAAUAUUUUCAAUUUGAAUAUUUAUUAGAUACCAAAAAUUAUAAGUCUAUUCGCAAAAGUGUAAGUCAAUGCCAAGUACAAUAUUUGUUAAGAUAUAUUUAGGGAACUGUUAGUAGCACUCCAAAAAUCUUAUUCUACACUUUGCACAAGUGUAUUUUUCUUUCUAAUUAUAGAAAGUUUGGAGUGCCAAAUGAGAUUUUUGGAGUGCUAAUAACAAUUUUCUAUAUUUAUAUACAUUUUAUUUUAGUUUGGAAGUCGACUUCCUUUUUUUUUUUCCUUUAUCAAGUUGGGAGUAUCAAUGACUGUGACCAUGUGCAACUAGUUGUUGAUUCGUUUUGAAUAAUCAACAUUAUUUCUUACAAUGUCUUGGGCUUAUAAAUAACAGAAGGAAAACCGUCAUGCAUGAAACAUACACAUUUGUCCCUUCAUGCGACAUGGUUAUAAGCAAACAUCAUGCAUUUACUAAUACUAUUCCAAGUCAUGCAUGAAACCUAUACAUUGUCCCUUCAUGCCACUUGGCUAUAAGCAAACAUCAUGCACAAGUAGUUUACUAAUUAGUAUUACUAAUAUUAGCUUGUAUCAUGACCGUUUUCUUUUUGUUAUUCAUAUGCCCAAGACAUUGUAAGAAAUAAUGUUGAUUAUUCAAGACAAAUCAACAACUAGUUGCACAGGGUCAUAGUCAGUGAUACUCCCAACUUGAUAAAGAAAGAAAAAAAAAAGGAAGUCGACUUCCAAACUAAAAUAAAAUGUAUAUAAAUAUAGAAAAUUGUUAUUAGCACUCCAAAAAUCUCAUUUGGCACUCCAAACUUUCUAUAAUUAGAAAGGAAAAUGCACUUGUGCGGAGUGUAGAAUGAGAUUUUUGGAAUGCUAAUAACAGUUCCCUAAAUAUGUCUUAACAAAUAUUGUAUGUGGCAUUGACUUAGACUUUCGUGAAUUGACUUAUAAUUUCUGGUAUCUAAUAAAUAUCCAGAUUGAAAAUAUUCAUAGAUCUACAAAAUUUUCUCAUGGAGGUACCCAUUUUUUUGCCACAGAUACCAAUAUAAAGGCUAAAAGACAAUACGAUAUUAAAUUCAUAUGUGGUCGAGAUAUUUAUGAAUUUAAUCAUUAAAAUGCAUAAGCUCAAUUAUACAUUCAAGUUAGAUCAAUUCCCGAAGUUUUGGUCAACAAUAAAACUACUUACCUAUGAGUUCAUCUAUAAAACGUGCAAAGGCGAUAAACUUUUUAACCACAGUUCUAUGUACUGUGAAUUUUUGCCCGCAACUUUUGUGGCAUAUAGAGACUAAAAGAUAGUACGAUAUUAAAUCCAUAUAUGGUCGAAAUAUGUAUCAGUUCAAUCAUUAAAAUGCAUAAACACAAUUACACAUUCAGGUUAGAUCAAUUCCCGAAGUUUUGCUCCACAAUAAAAACUGCUUAGCUAUGAGUUCGCCUAUAAAACGUGCAAACGUGAUAUACUUUUUAGCCACAGUUCAAUGUAAUGUGAAUUGUUGUUCGCAACUUUUGUAUCUAAUAAAUAUCCACGGUUAAAAAUAUUCAUUGAUCUACCAAAAGUUAUCAUGGACAUACCCAUUUUUCUACCACAUAUAGGAAUAUAGAGGCUGGAAGAUUCUCAUUUAAUUGAAACAUACCAAACUCAUACCAAACUCAUCUAAUUAGUGCUCUAGAAAUUUAGAGAUGUCAAAUGAUGAAGAAAAGGAAGAGGAAGAGAUUUGGAUGACUACGGAGGAGUAGAUGGGGGUGCAGAAUGACAACCAUGGGAGAUGGAAGGAUUUUUUUUAAAGAGAGAGAGAAGGGGAUUUGUUCCAUGGAGAUGAUGAACUAGUUAGCGUUUUAUUUUUUAUUUUUAAGUAGAUUGAGUUGGGUGUAAAAAGAAGUUUGAUUGAGUUGAGUUUUGAUAAGUAAGGGCGGUUUCGAAAAUAAUGUUGGGUGUAAAUAGAUAAUCAUAGAUAAAUCAAAUACAAUGUGGAUAUAAAAAGUAAGCUGGGUGUUGAGAUACAAAAUAUGGGUUCAAAUAAAAUUUCCCUAACUAUAAUGGGGCGCCAGGUUUAAUUCACAUGUUUUAUUUCCCUAAAAGCAGAUCACAAAAAGCACUCUAAUUAAAAAUUUCACAUGAAUUGCCACUUAGUACUACGGUUUAGUAGUAUUUUUCUUCACUUGUAAGUGAGAGGUCUUAGGUUCGAUUCUCGCCAAAGGCAAAUUCGAACCAUAUUAUUGCUAGCCCAUUAUGAGGCUUAGCCCACUCCCCCACCCCCUUAGUGUAGAUAAUAUCGUUAGUUAAAAAAAAUCACAUGAAUUAAAAUUAAAUCCCCAUUGACACCAAUUUCAUGAAAUUGGAUUAAAAAGACCAACACGGAAGACAUUAAAACAAUGAAUUAAAAUUUAAAAUUAAGGAUCCCCCCACUCACAAGUUUUUUAGUUAGUACUCUUUAUCACUAAUGUGACAUUAAUUUUCACUCUACAAGUAUCGUAAUCAAAAUUAUUCACUCACUUAUCAUCUUUCAAUAAAAAAGUUCAAAUGAUUUGGAGACUGUUUAGUUUGUCAUGAAUCAAAGAUAUGAGAGUUCAUCAUGGUGAUGCUACUUAUUAGCGUAAUCGUUGAUUUGUUUGACUAGGAUAACUAAAUAGUCUCUAAAUCAAAUAAAUAUUUCCAGAGAUGAUCUUUUGAUGAUCAUAAAGAAAAUGAAUAGCUAUAAUAAUGACGUUGGUAAACUAAAAUGAUGUCACAUUUUGAAAUUAAUGAGGACUUUCUUCUUUACUAAGAAUGAGGGAAGUAAAUAUUAUCCUUUCUUUUGGUCGUAAGGGAAGUAUCCUUGAAACUAAGGAAUCAAAUUGGGAAAAUUAAGGACCAGAACUGAAAACAAACAAAAUAUAGUGAUAAAAAGUAGGAUCCAACAUCUUUUAUCGAAUAAUAAUAGUAGUUCACUAAUGACCAUAGGAACCACCAACGACCACUAUAUUAUUUUAUGACAUGAAUUUUCUAAAUUCACACGAUGGGGGAAGAAUAGAAUCAGUUGUUGCAAUUGUCUACAAUAUUAAAUAAGAACAACAAAAUAAAAUGAUGUAUUUGUUUAGCUUGGUUGGUUAGCCAGCCAGCAGGCUUAGUGCGCAUACAAAUUUCAAGUAUUUUUUAUUUAUCAACAAGUGUAAGGCUGAUAUCUCUAAUCUAAAACUCAAGAGUUAAAAAUUAUAAAGCUACAUUUAAUUUCACAUGCCGUGGUGUAAGUUAUAUUAUUUCCAAUGCAUACGGAGUUAUUCAAUGUUAAAAAUAUUCUCUUUUUCUCCCCGACCAUCUCUCUUAAAAUCAAAACCUAGAUCUACAAGUUUUAAGCUUAAUACUCGUUAUUUUGACACUUUUUCAAUAAAAUAUAUAUAAUUCACUUUUCCUAUACGUAUUUUUCACAUAUUAUCCAGGAAAUAAAAUACUAAAAUAAAAAAAUGACCGAAUUUGUAAAAGUUUAGCAAACUUGUCGAAUAAUACACAUAUGUAUGUUUCACGUACUAUACUCGUACCUUAUUUAUAUUUGUAUUUAAAACAAAAACGCCAAUAAUUAACUCAAUAUAUUGAAAGACCUAAUUCACAAACAUCGUUUUAUUUUCCACUAAUUUGUCUUGCUUUGUUAGUGCUUAAUAACGUACUUAUUCAUCAAAGCAAGCAAGGAAGUAAUCGCUUAAGUAACUUAGCAUAAAGAUUUGCUUUCGAAAAGCCCACAACCAGUAACAAAGUUGGAAUUUUCCCCCACCGCAAGUUGUGUAAACUCAUGUGUUGCAAAUUAACCUACUGCAUGGAAGAUUUACUCCAGCAAUUGACAAUUUUUCCCCCUCACGUACGUGAUUGAUUACUAUUUCUUAUAAUAAAUGCAAUGCAUGACCACAUAUUUUUGACAAUCUUCGUGCACAAUAAAAAAAAAAAUUCUUGACAUUUACUAUGGAGUGGUAGUAUUCCCAAAUGGCCAUUUGGUCAAGUAAAAUUCAAUCUUCAUUUGUUGGAAAAGGUUUAUUAGUUCAAAUCUCAUAGCCGAUAACAAUUCAAUAAAAACCAAUAGAAACCUGAAACUUAAGGCCAAAGGUUCAUUAAUAAGAUCAUAAAUGCAAAACUAAAUAUUUCAUAAAUUGGAGAUUUUUUUCGGUGUUACUCGAAACACUGCCGUAGUGUUACAAUUCGACUCAAACUAUAACAUGUGUAAUAAUAUACUUUAAAAGUGAGAUAUAUCAACCAUGCUGCCUUCACUUAUAACACGUGAAAAAGUACAAUGCACAGCAGUGUUUUACAUACAUAGGAAAGUUCUCCAAUGAGUCAAUAACAAUCACCCUAAUCUAUUACAACUUGAGCUAGAGUUGAUGUACACAAAUCUAACUAACUUUGAGUUUUUAGAAUUUAUUGUAAUGUUAAUCUUGAGCAUCUAAUUCAUUGAAGGCGGGACAAGAAAAUAAUUCAAAUUAAGUUAUGUCAUAUACAUUCUUAAUUAAGAGUACGAAGCCAAUGCAAAAGUUAAUCUAUAAUGUAAUGUCGUCCAGUUUCAAGCACACAGCUAUGGAAUCCUCAUUUGUCCCGACUUUGGUUCAAGAAGCCAAUAUACCUCUAAUUUAUAUUCAACUUAAUUCUCAAUGUGUAAUUUGAGUAAUUUCCUGGAUUAGGACGCGUGAUCCAACAAUAUCAAGGUUUCACUAAAAUUAAAAAAAAAAACGACUGCAAAUGAUUAGACUAUAUUAAUAUAUAACAUGUUGCAUUAUGCUACAUAUAUUAUUAAUUAUUCCACGCAGGCAACCGCAAAUAGAAGGCACCACUUGUAAAUUAGGAGAACAUAUAUAGCAUGAGUAUUGUGGAGCCAAAAAUAUUCACAAGGCGACACGUGGAUUUUUAGAUAAAAGAAGAUAAAAAUAUCCUUGAGGCAUACCGGGAUUCCUACGCACGAGCAGCGGGCAAUCAUCCGUUAACCAAGUCAAAAAUGCCCAAAGAAGGUAACAAAUAAAAGUUAUUUCAUCCAUAUACUCCACAAGGUAACCAUUCCAAAUAUUCCAUUUAAAUUAGAUUAAUUGGUGAGUUAAUGGAUUUAUUUCCUAAUUAAUCCAUUAAAUCACCAAUUAAAUGACCCAUUAUGCCAAUUAAUCCCCCAUUACAUAACCCAUUACCCAAAAAAUCCCAAAUGGCUGGCCACCCUAGUUGAUCUCAUCAUAUUCACCUAUUUUAUCGCAUUAGUUAGCUAGUUAAUUUGGCAAUAAUUUUAUUUGCUAAAUUAAUUAGUCAAUUAUUCCCAUAACUCCUAAAUUUAACCUAAAUCAAGAACCCUAUCCCUAUAAAUAGGCUCUCAUUCUCACCAAAAACCUAAUUCCAACACUUUGGCAAAAAUCCCAAAAUUCUCUAAACACUCUUUCUCUCUAAAUUCUAACUUUGGCAUCGGAGGUUCUUCAGCCAAAGCCCCCCCAUUCAUCAUGGGCGCGUGAGGCUCUUGGCCUUAACCUAAGGUGUUGAUUGUUUUGUAGGUGCAAAAUUGUCCAAGAUCAAGGAGGAAGAAAUUUGCAUCCACAGGUAUAUUGUUAUGAUGACGUUCUAAAAGGGUGAUUCUUAGCCAACAUAGUUUUCUGCUUUGUGAGGGUCGGGAAGAAAUGUCUAUUGUACGCAAUUUUACCCUUGCUUUGUAAAGAAAUUGUUUCCACGACUCAAACCCGUGACCUUUUGGUUACAAAUGAGCAACAUUUAUAUUGCACUAAAGCUCACCUCAUUCAAUAAAAUAAAAUUAUGUAGUUUUAACUCACAUAUCCUUUUUUUCAUAAGGAAAACUAAUGAAAAGAACUUGAAAACUUUGAAUUUUAACGAUAAGGACAAAAUAAAUGAUAAAGUGAAUAGUAUCAUGAUUGAUUUUUUAGUGUAAAAAUGUGAUUUUUCGUUAAAAUGAACCGUAUCGGGAGCUUUUCGUUAAAGUUCCCUUUUUCAUAAGCACAAGAUACCGUGAAAGUGUAUUCGUGGUAGUCGUUCUCAUGAAUUAGCCUUCUUUUAUUGGCAGCACCCUUUUUUGAUUAUUCCCUCUCUCAACUUUCGUCUCUCUUGUAGUUGAAACAUAGAUAUACAUAUGAAGAGAAACAUCUUCUCAAUCAACGCAGACCAAGUUCAUUUGCCCCCCCCCCCUCUCUCUCUCUCUCUCUCUCUCUCUCUCUAAACUGUUAUUUGCAUAAGGAAAAAUAUGGUAUACUAUCAGAGAUACAAGCAGAGGAAAAAAAGGUGAACAUCUUACAGAAGAAGAUGAAGAGUGUCAGAGCAUUAUUAUGGGGUCUUCAAACUCUGGUUACUACAAAAGAACAAGGCCCAAGCUUCUCUCUUUCGUCUUUCUCUCUCUCCUCUCUUGCAGCUUCAUAAUUAGCACCUCAUCUUUUCUACCCUAAUGCCACUUUCUCUCUAUUACGUAAGCUUUUAUCUCUAGUUUCUCAUUUUCAUUUUUUCAUUUUUCUUUCAGUUUCCUUUAAUUGUAUGCUGAGAUUAUAUAAUAACCCUAUGUAAACCCUAGCUUGUACCCAGAUUAUAUAGAACCCCAUGCAUAAACCCUAGCUUAUAUAGUACCCAGUUGGGUCUCUUCACCUAUAUGCACUUGAUUUUAGUUGGAUGUUCUAACUCUUUCAUGGUAUGAGAACCAAGCUAACCACGUAUCAAACCAUCAGUUUAUUAGAAUACAUGAAGUGUCCUUAUCCCCUCUCCCCGUCUUCAAGUACCCUUUUUCGAUACAUGGUAUAGUCAUUGAAAAUCAAAUGAUUUUCGGAUUAUUCAACUCCGUUUGUGUUGUCCACGUUAUUGGCUUGAAGAUCACCACACGUUAGGGAACGUGUUAAGAAUGAAUCUCACAUUAAUGAGAGAAUGUGAGCUUAUAAGUAAGUUGGGUUACUCCUCAUAUUGUCAAUUGAUUUUGUGAUGAAACCUCAAAUUGCUUCAACCCUUCGUCUUUCAAAACAUUCACAAUAUUUUUGAGUUAUCUCACAUAGUGAAAAGUAAGCCAUGCACAAUAAUAUAGAUAGACUCUAUAUCUAUUGCUGUUUGAUUUUAAGUUGAAUGCUCUAAUUUUUUUUUUCCACUAUAUUCACGAAUAAAUAUGUACCCUUUGGUUUUGUAGGCCUUGCUGCUGACGAUAUGGUUGCAUAUGCUCCCUCGAGUUCUUCAAUCUCUAACGGUAGAAUUCUCUGCUUCUCAGUGGCUUCUAUUUGGAAUCGAUUAAUUGUUUGUGUUUUAGUUGUUAAUAAAUACCUUGCAAAGUUUACCAGACAGUAUUACUAUCGAUUAAUUGGUUUGAAAAAAAUCGUUUGCAUCAGAAGGCUGGUUAUAAGGCUUAGAAGGUAAGAAAAUUAGAAAAUUGUUAGCAUAAACAAGUCUUGAACUGAUCAUGACUUGCGAGUAACUUUAAACUACACUCCACCUAUGAAGCAUAUACUCUAUAUAGUACUAGCAGACAACAAAUAAAUAGCUGAAAUUUCAGGAUGGGCACUAGCCUAUUCUGGCCUUCAUGUAGCUCCUCCCCCGGUUGCGAUGAUACUCGAAUUGAUACUGCAAAAACAAUAAAAUACGGAACUAUUAUUGUUAUUUAAAAAAUAUUAUUCUACAUUAAUUUUUUCUUGUAUAUUUUUUCCUUAUGUUUUCAUAGAUGACGAGUGCAAGACAAUAUUUUUUUACUGAUAACAACUCCUAGUAAAACAACGUAAAAAUAUAACAUAAAAACAAUAUUGAUAAUAUUCCUGAAAUUCAAAAUUAGUUUUUAAUCUGUUCUAGUCUUUUCAACAAGCAAGCUGGGUCUGCUAUCUCUCUUUCCUUAUGGAACUCAUACGGGGUGAGUGGUCAAUUCGAACCCAGACCCUACGUUCUAAUUAUUCUAAUUAAUUUAGUUAAUAUAUAGUUAAUUCAGCUCCAGUUGAACCGCCACAAUUUUAUAUCGUCCAUGGAUCAUCAGGUUGAAGUCAAAUGAAUGGAGCCUGCAAGUUAAGCAUGUAAGAUGUAAUCUGAAAAUCAACAAGUUACUAGGAUCACAAAUAUAACAAAUAUAACUACAAUAAACCAAUCAAACAAUUAAAGGGAAAUAAACUUAUCUUCCAAAGCGGAGGAAGAAGAAGCUAUGACUGCUAGGGUUUCAAGGAGGAACUAGGUUCAAGAAUACAGCAGGACACGUAAAGCAGCAAGCCGUGGCACUGCGUGUGCAAUCCGACUUCUCCAUCUUCUUCAACUGUCACAUGGAACCAUACCAAGACACCCCUCUACACACAACCUUCUCCUCUCUGCAAAACUCAAUGCUCUCCAAGUUAUAGGUAAUUGGAACGAUAAGAGCGCACAACCUUCUCCUCUCUGCAAAACUCAAUGCUCUCCAAGUUAUAGGUAAUUGGAACGAUAAGAGCGCCCUUUUGUGAGAGCAGGGGCUUGUGGUUUUUAUACUACAAAAUCUGGAUUACCCUAUAAUAAUCCUACAAGGAAUACAAGACCAAAUCCUUGUACAAGUAUGAGUUCUAUUCUCAAGCCAACAGUAGAGUUUCAAUCCAAACCAAAGUUGAAUUAACUCUUAUAAACACAUUAAGACCUCUUUAUACCAAUCUGAAAUAACAAUGAUUAUUACUAAACUGUGAGAAUCACACUCAUACUCUAACAAAGCAUGCUUGCUUGUUGAACCCCGCAACCACUUAAAAAUUUGUGAUAAAUAUGAUUUAUGUAUUCCUAAUUUUCUAAGUUUUGAUAGACCUAAAGCCAAAUCUAAUUUUUACGUCACUUAUUAUAACUGUAGUCUAAUGGUAUAUUUUUCUACUUGUUAUAAGUAGAAAGAUUUUAGGUUCGAUCCUAAACUAACACUAAAUUAUUAUAGAUGACCCAGUUGUAUGGCCUCACCCAAAUAUCCAAAGUUUUAGUGUAAAUAAUAUCAAUGUUUUAAAAGUUAAUUGAGUACACUUAUUUUCUGUAUGUGACACUUUUACAUUUUCUCUAUCUGCAAUUACUUUCACUAACUAUAAAUGUUGUGGGUGCAGGAACUAUAUUUUGUGACAGGAGCAGUUUUCGAUCAGAUGUUUGUAUCCUGAAAGGGGAUGUAAGAACACACUCCGGUUCCUCUUCCAUCUUUGUCUACAGAUCCAGAGAUAAAAGUAAUUUCACAAAUUAUUUAUCGAGUAUCGUCGAGGAAAACGAAGAGGAAAAUGAGGAACAGCUUCACCGCGAAAAGAUCAAACCGUAUACCCGGAAAUGGGAACCAAGUAUCAUGGACACCGUCACAGAAUAAGACCUCAUUGCAAAGACAGAUGGCACUCCAGGAAAGCAACAUGAGUGUGAUGUCCAACGUGAGGUUCCGGCCGUAUUCUUCUCGACGGCGGGCUAUACCGGUAAUGUUUAUCAUGAAUUCAACGAUGGUAUUAUGCCGCUGUACAGUACUUCUCAGCAUUUGAGGAAACAGGUUGUGUUUGUCAUCGUUAAUUUUCACAAUUGGUGGCUUAUGAAAUAUGGAGACAUUCUUUCACAACUAUCAGACUAUCCAGUAAUUGAUUUCAGUGCAGACAAGAGAACUCAUUGCUUUCCCGAAGCUACUGUCGGUCUGCAAAUUCACGAUGAGCUCACUGUGGAUUCUUCAAAUAUGGAAGGAAAUAAGAGCAUAUUCGACUUUCGAAAUCUUCUAGACGGGGCUUACAGUCCUCGAGUUACAAGUCUGAUUCACGAACGAGAAGCAAAAGAGAAACUCUCCGUUUCUAUGUCUCCCGCAUCGAAAAGAUCCUUAAAAAUCAAGAGAAAAGUACAUGAAGCACAUCAACUCAAGAGGCCUAGACUAGUGAUCAUAUCUAGAAAUGGAUCAAGAGCGAUAACCAAUGAGCAUUUGCUGGUGAAAAUGGCUGAAAAAUGGGGUUUGAAGUUGAAGUUCUGAGACCUAAUUCGAGGACCGAGUUGGCAAAGAUUUAUUGCGUUCUUAAUUCGAGUGAUGUCGUGAUCGGGGUUCACGGUGCUGCCAUUAGACCUGGCAUUUUGGACCCGACCCGACCCGACCCGUUAAUAUUAGUAUUUGGAUGGAUGCUUAACAGGUCGGGUCGCUAACGGGUGAACCCGUUAACAACCAGUUAAAUAACGGGUCACUUUGGGUCAACCCGGUAGCACCCGUUAGUUGAGGAUGCUUUAGUAAUUUUAGUAAAGUCUUAACAACAACAAAUAAACUUUAUGCAAAAAAAAAUAAUAAUAUUUGUUAACGGGUUGUUAACGGGUGUUAACGGGUGACCCGUUAGCUUAACGGGUCGAGUUCGGUUGACCCGUUAACUUAAUGGGUCGGGUUGAACCCAACUCAAACCCAAUAAACUCUACCCGUUUACAGGUCUAGCUGCCAUGACACAUUUGUAGAAACUCUAUGUUCUUGUAAGAGAGAGAGAGAAGAGAAGAGAGAGAGAGAGGUUUCUUAAGAAUUAAGAAAUCUAUGACUUUUCAUUAAUUGAACAAAUGAAUAAUACAAUUAAAUAUAUAUAGUCCUUGUGACUAUCUACAUUUGGCUAUCUAAACUAACCAAAUAAACCAACUAAUUACAUGAGUAACAAACUUAUAACAAACAACUUUAGCUAUGAUAUAGCAUCUUCAUCUUUACACCCCCUCAAGCUAAACUUGGAAGAAUCAAUAAGUCCAAGUGAGAGCUUGGAUUGCAGAAACUGAAACUUGUUUUUAGACAAGGCUUUGGUAUGAAUAUUUGCAAGUUGAUCCUGACUGCACACAUACUUAACUUCAACCAGAUUUGCAAGUACUAACUCACGAAUAUAAUGAUAAUCAAUCUCUACAUGCUUAGUGUGAGCAUGAAAUACAGGAUUAGAUGCAAGAGAUAUAGCAGAGAUAUUAUCACACCAGAGAGUAGGUUUGUGAGAUAGAGGAAAACCAAAGUCUUUGAGCACCUUGCAGAUCCAAGUAACCUCUGCAGCAGUGUGAGCUAAGGAUCUGUAUUCAGCUUCAGUAGAGGAACGUGCGACUGUUGAUUGUUUCUUGGCACUCCAGCUAACUAAGUUGGUGCCCAGGAAAACACAUGAACCACUAGUGGAUCGUCAGUCAUAAGAGCAACCAGCCCAAUCGGCAUCAGAGUAGGCUGACAGAUGCAGGGAGUUUUCUUAAACAAUAAACCAUGAGUGAUAGUCACUUUGAGAAACCUCAAUAUACGUUUGGCUACUUGCAUGUGAAGAACAGUAGGUGCAUGCAUAAAUUGACAGAUUUGGUUUACUGCAAAAGAAAUACCAGGUCUUAUCCAAGUUAAGUAUUGGAGAGCACCAACAAUCGAUCUGUAUUCAGUAGGAUUGGCAAGUAACUCCCCACUAUGAUCUAAUUUGGUAGAACUAAGAGGAGUGGAACAUGGUUUGCACCAGCCAUAUUUGUUUUCUGUAACAAAUCAAUCAAAUACUUGCUUUGAUGAAGAAGCGUAGCAUCUUCGGUGCGAUGAACUUCCAGACCAAGGAAGUAAUGCAAGGAGCCUAGAUCUUUGACAGGAAAUAAAGUGCUCAACUGUGCUAUGAACUGAUUGCAAAUAGUAGCAUCAGGACCACUAACUAGAAUAUCAUCAACGUAGACAAGCACAAUAACCAGAGUUGGAGCAUGAAGAACAAAUAAAGAAGCAUCAGAAGAUGAUUGACUAAAUCCAAGAGAUUAAAGAGCUUGAAAUAAUUUGUCAAACCAAGCUCUAGGAGCUUGUUUAAGUCCAUAGAGAGAUUUUUUGAGCUUACACACAUGAGUAGGUUUGCUGGGAUCUUGAAAACCAGAAGGUUGAACCAUAAACACAUCCUCUUUUAAGUCACCAUGCAGAAAGGCAUUGCUAAUGUCCAGUUGAUGGAGAAACCAAUUAAAUUGGAUAGCAAAAGAUAACAAAAGUCUGAUAGUAACUGGCUUUGCAACCGGACUAAAUGUUUCUGUAUAGUCAAGACCUUCCUGUUGGUGAAAUCCCUUAGCAACAAGUCUUGCUUUAUAUCUCUCAAUGGAUCCAUCAGGAUGCUUUUUAAUUCUAAAGACCCACUUGCAGCCAACUACAUUUUAAGAUGGUGAAGAAGGAACAAGUGUCCAAGUGUCAGUAGAUAAACGAGCAUUGAAUUCAUUUUGCAUUGCCAUUCUCCAAUUUUCAGACUUAGAAGCUUGAAGAUAAGUAUUUGGAAUGUAAUCAGUGGAGGAAGGGAGAGGAUGUUUGGUAGUAGUUAAUGCUUUGGGUUUAUGAAUCCAUUUUUGGAUCAAGUAACCAUGGAAUGAACAUUAGAAACAGAAGGAUGCACAGGUUGAUGGGGAGGGAUAGGUUAUUGUGGAGAGACAGGUUGAUGUGUAGGGACAGGUUGUUGUGUAGGUACAGGGUGAUGGGUAGACAUGAUAGGAGAAGAAGGCAUAGGUGGAAGAGAUAUAGAUGGUUGUGAAGAAGAUGAGAGGGAUGCUGAGAGAGGCACAGGUGUAGUGGGGUUAGAGAUAGGCAUUGAAAAAUGAAGAUUAAUAGAUGAAGGAGCACACUGAUCAAUAGAGGAUUGAACUGGAGUAACAUCCUUAAAAGGAAAAGUAACCUCAUCAAAUAUAACAUGCCUAGAAACAUAAAUCCGAUUGGUUUCCAAAUCCAAACACCUAUAACCUUUAUGUUGUAAACUGUAACCCAAGAAGACAUAUCUCUUACUUUUCCCAUCAAGCUUAGAAGAAAUGUAGGGCUUUAACCAUGGAUAACAACUACACCCAAAAACCUUAAGUUUGGAAUAAUCUGGAUACUUGUUAAACACCAACUCCCAUGGUGAUUUAGGAUUUCCUGAUAUAGGCAGCCUAUUUAUAAGAUAAAGGGCAGUAGUGAAAGCUUCAACCCAAUAGGAAUGAGGAACACUAGAUUCAACCAAUAAAGUCCAAGUUGUCUCAACAAGAUGCCUAUGUUUCCUCUCCACACAACCAUUUUGUUCUGGUGUGUGGGGACAACUAAGUUAUUGAACAAUACCAUGAGCAUGUAGAAAAGAUUUAAAUUGUAAACUGGUAAAUUCACCCCCAGAAUCUGAACGAAGAAUCUUGAUUUUAUUACCAACAGUAUUCUCAACAUAAGCUUUGAAGGUUACAAAAGUAGAAUACACCUCUGAUUUAGUCUUUAAAGGAAAACACCAAUUGUAUUUGCUAAAUUCAUCAACUAGGAGAAAAUAAUAUCGAAAACCACUCACUGAAGUUACAGGAGCUGGUCCCCAUAGAUCACAAUGUAAGAGCUCAAGAGGCUGAAAGGUGGUUGUAGUUGAUGAACUAAAGGGUAGUUUAUGAUUUUUAGCAAUAGCACACUUGGAGCAAAAGAAGUCAACAGAGGUUGUACCUUUAAUAGCAAGCUUAUUACUAGAGAUUAUUUUGCGAAAGAUAGAUGAGGAAGGGUGUCCUAGCCGACUGUGCCAUAGUUUGACUGAACCUUGAGCACUGACAAGAGCAUAAGUGCAUCCAGAAGAUUGAGCAGUGGAAGAACAGUUUUGCAUAGGGUAAAAGCCAUCUUUAACUGGACCCUACAAAAACGUCUUCCCCGUAGUACGAUCCUUUACAACAGAGCCAUCAGAAUCAAGUGUUAAGGCACAAUAGUUAUCUUUGAGAAAUUGGUAUGCAGAUAACAGAUUAUGCUUUAUUUGAGGGACAUGAAGCACAUUACGCAAAUGAAAUUGAGCAUUAGGAGAAUGCAAAGAAGAAGAGCCAAUAUGAUGUAUAGAGAGACUUUUACCAUCACCGACAUAAACCUUGUCCUCGCCAGUAUACGGUGUUGGUGAAGAGAUGUUGGCAAUAUCAUUAGUGAUGUGAGAUGUGGCGCCAGAAUCUAGUAGCCAAGAUGGAGAAGGUUUGGAGGAGUAGUGUGCACACAUGGCUGCAAGUUUUGCAGGAGGAAUCUUCCCAGAGAUGUCAGGAUUCAUGCGAUCGAAGCAAUCAAUAGCUUCAUGACUAGUAGAUCCACAAAUUUGACAAGAAACAUGAGUACUGCCGAAUGAAGAGUUGCGAACACCUUGGUGAUGACCACGAUUGGAAGAUUGACCUCUAUAAUUGCCUCUGUGUCCACGAUUGUUGUUGUACCGACCAUGAUUAUGAGAGUGAUUACCUCUAUAGAUGUUCCUUCCACGAUAAGAGUUGAAUCGAAAGGAUUGGUGAGGUUGAGCAACAUAUGCUUAAGGCGGUAGAGUUGGAAGAAGAGGCGGUUGAGACUGAACAGAGAACGCCUGAAAGGACUCAGUAGUGGAGGAAUAGAGCUUCUUGCGACGAGACAUUGAAAGCUCUUUGGUGAGAAGAAGACCAUGUAACUCAUCCAGAGACGUGGAAGAGAGACGUAACAUCACAGAAUCAAUGAAGGAUUCGAAUUCAUCAGGUAAGCCAGCAAGAGUAGCCGCAAUAAGAUCGCGAUCAGAAAUAAGUGCACCAGCAGCAGAAAGAGAAUCAGAGAUUUCUUUGAGUUGUUGAAGAUAAUCCGUCAUAGAUUGAGUACCUUUUUGAAUUACUUGAAGGCGAGAUCAUAGUUGAUGGAUGUGAGCAUCGGAGACGCCACCAAACCGUUGUUCAAGCUUGAUCCAAAGAUCGCGAGCAGAAGAGACACCAACAGUAAAAGGAAUAACAUCUUCCGAAAGUGUAGAAUUCAACCAAAUCAACAGAUUCUAAUCCUUUUCAUACUAGAUCUCAAAAGCUGGAUUAAUCGAUCGAUCGAGAAGGAAUGACGGUGGACACGGCUCAGUACCUUCAAUAAUUCCAAGAAGUUUGUAGCGCCUGAGAAUCGAUGCAAACAAAGCACGCCAUGGAAGAUAGUUAGAUCUCUUGAGCUUAAUUGGCACCAUGCUUCCAAUAUUCUGAAUUGUGAUAGAAGCAUACGAAUUGGACACGUUAGGGUUUGUAGAAGAAUUGGGGGCAGAAUGCUGGAGAGAUUCAUGAGAUGCAAAAUCGGACGGAGAUGCCAUGGUAAUCAAAAACAAGAAUUACAAGAAAAGAUCAGCGAGAAUCAGAGAAACAAAGCGGAAGAAAGGAUCGAAUUGGCCUUGAGGCAGAAGGUGAAAGAUACCAUAUAAAAACUAUGUGUUCUUGUAAGAGAGAGAGAGAGAGAAGAGAAGAGAAGAGAGAAAGAGAGAGAGGUUUCUUAAGAAUUAAGAAAUCUGUGACUUUUCAUUAAUUGAACAAAUGAAUAAUACAAUUACAUAUAUAUAGUCCUUGUGACUAUUUACAUUUGGCUAUCUAAACUAACCAAAUAAACCAAACUAAUUACAUGAGUAACAAACAUAUAACAAACAACUUUAGCUAUGAUAUAGCAUCUUCAUCUUUAACAUUUUCUGUUCAUGAGACCUGGCUCUGUGUUGAUCCAAGUUAUUCCUCUUGGAACUAGUUGGGCAGCAGAGGAAUACUAUGGGAAACCUGCAAGAAAGCUUGGGUUAAACUACGUCGGCUACAAAAUUCUUACCACAGAAAACUCGUUACACAACAAGUAUGGUAAAGAUGAUCAUGUUCUUAAAAAUCCAGCUAGUGUAACAAAAAAAAGAUGGGAAUACACAAAGGAGAUUUACCUUGAAGGUCAAACUGUGAGACUACACCUCACAAGAUUUAAGAAGCAGCUGCUUCGUGCUUAUAACUGCGCCAUUGGAAGAACGACUCGGCAUUUCGAACAACAAUAAACUAGUCAUUCUGGAAGUUGUAGAUUCAUACAUGCUUGAUAAAAAUUUGUGAACAUGUAUAUAACGUCGAGAUUUAGCUUAGUAGUAUGUACACCUCAUCAAUUAGGCUAGCUUACUUAUUAAGUUUUGGCAGCUACUAUAAAUAUAAUUCAUCAAUUCUCAAUAUAAUGAAAAAGUCAACUUCUUCUUCAAGCUGUUUUUUCUCUAUGUUCCAUAUUUUCUGAGUUCUCCAUUUUCACGAGUUCUACAUUUUCCUGAUUUCUGUAAUCUUCGAUUUCCAUGAUUCUUCCAUAGCUAUCAUGGUAUCAGAGCUUAGGUUCGGUGAAUCUAAGAGAAGGAUCCUGGAUUGGCUCAUCAAGCGAUGGAAGUAGUCGUUGCGUAGAGAUUUGUAGCUGUUUUUGGUUCGCGAUUUUUCGUCGGAGAUCUAUCUUCGUUGAAUCAGGUUCUGAAUUUCGUUCUUCGGUGUAUCUGUGUGAUCAAUUCUGCGUGAAAUUUCUGGAGUUCUUAGUUUGUUUUCUGGAUAUGUUGAUUGUAGAAGAUUGCGAUGAUGAACUUUUAGGGCAUGAAGCCUGAAAUUUUUUUUUAGGGCACGAAGCUCGUUGUUAUGUUCAAUGCGUGUGAAGAUUAAUGUCUGUGUGGUGAAUUCCGAAGAAAUUUGUAUGCAUAUUCUAGAUUGUUGAUAUAUAAGCUUCUGUGGAGUAUUUUUCUGGUCAUUUUGGCACGAAGCCAGCUGAAAUUGUUUCUUUGAGUACAAAACUCUUUGAGGAAUUGAAUUCAUUUGUUCAUUUGUGAUUCGGUCAGUUGGUGAUUUGACAAAUCUUGGUGCAUAAUCUUGGUGUAUUGAUAUAAUCUUGGUGUAUUGGUGAUCUGGUGAUGAAUGCUAUAAAGAUGGACAGUCUACUGGGCAUGUUAACUAUCCGAUUACAAGAUGACAAUUUUGUGAAGUGGUCCUUUCAAUUUACAGAAGAAUCUAACCACAUUGACUUUUUCUGGAUCUACAAUGUAUUGUCAGGGUGAAUCUUCUAAUACUACUCACAAUUCUCCAGAGUCUUCUCAAUAUUUCAAUGGUGGUUUUGGCUUUGUUAGCGGCAGCAACACUAACUCUCAGGCUCGUGGAUCAAGACCAACUGGAGGAUUUGUGUCACAAGCCAAUUUGCCUCAGUUUCAAGGGAAUGGAACUUUUCAGCAUCAAAGGAAUUAUCAUAACAAUGGUGCUAACAAUGGCAGGUUCAAUAACAGACCAAGGUUUAAUAAUGGAUCUUCUGGAAGAUUUUCUGAGAAUUCUAAUUACUUCUCUGGUAGCUCCAGUAAUAAUGGAGGAUCUAAUUUUGGGGCUAAGGGAGGAUCUACUUGGCAGAAUUGGAAUGGUAAUAAUGGAUCAAAGAGCGCUUUGAUUCCUGAAUGCCAAAUUUGCAACAAAAGAGGCCACACUGCCCCAAAUUGUUACUCUUGAUAUGAUACAAGUUCCAGCACUGUUUCUCAAGUUCCCGAGUGUCAAAUAUGUGGGAAGAAAAGGCACACUGCUCUUAAUUGCUAUCACAGGGGGAAUUAUGCAUAUCAAGGAACACCACCACCUCCUUCUAUCUCUGCUCUUACGACACAAGCUCAAUCAAAUUUUGAUGGUUCUUCACAACAAAAUUAGGUGCUAGACAUAUGGGCUACACAUCAUAUGACCGCUGAUUUGGACAAUUUGACUUUGGUGGCUCCUUUUGAAAGAAAUGAGAGGAUUACAGUGGGCAAUGGCGAAGGGCUUCCUAAUGUCAACACUGGUUUGGGUUCCAUCUUCACUCCUUUUAAAGCUUUAACUUUACACAUGGUUCUACAUGUUCCAAAAUUGGCUGCUAGUCUAUUGUCUGUUUAUAGACUCUGUAAAGAUAACAACUAUUAUGUUAUUUUUUAUGAGUUUGGUUUUUGGGUGCAGGACAAGGCAACAAAGAAAGUUCUCUUGAGAGGAAUGAGUAGUUGUAGUGGCUUGUAUUACAUUCCUCAACAACAAUUCUUCAAGUAUUUUCAGCUCCUAGAUACUACACCACAGGCUGUCUUGGGUCAACUUGUGAAGUCUUCUAUAUGGCAUCAUAGACUUGGUCAUCCAACAAAUGAAGUGCAGUAAAAAAUGCUUAAGGAAUCUUCUAUUUCUGUGUCUAUAGACAAUAAUCCUCAGAUGUGUUCAGUUUGUAUAAAGGGUAAAAUGUCUAGACAACCAUUUCCUUUAAGUACUAAUAAGUCUCGUAUUCCAUUUGAAAAAGUGCAUACCAAUGUAUGGGGACCUUCACCCACUAUAUCCGUUGAAGGUUACAGAUAUUAUGUCAUUUUUUUAGAUGAAUGCACAAGGUUUACUUGGCUUUUCCCUCUUGUGAAUAAGUCUGAUGUGUAUGCAGUAUUUGUUAAAUUUCAUGCUCUCGUUGUGAAUCAUUUUAAGACUACAAUAAAGUUUUUACAAUCAGAUGGAGGAUGAGAGUUUAUGAGUGGAUUGUUUAAGAAAUUUUUGGAGUUACAUGGCAUUUUACAUCUUGUUUCAUGUCCAUAUACACCCCGGAAAAAUGGGUUAACAGAGAGGAAGAAUAGACAUAUUAUUGAAACUGCUAUAACUUUAUUUGGUGCUGCAUUCUUACCUCAAUCAGUCUCCAUCUUUUGUCAAGUUGUUUGGACAGUCUCCAUCUUUAACAACUCUCAAGGUCUUUGGUACAGCCGUAUACCCUUAUUUAAGACCUUAUAGUGACAAUAAGUUGCAGGCAAGGAGUGAUGAAUGUGUCUUUCUGGGAUAUUCAUUGAUUGGGCUAUAAAGGAGUAUUGUGUUAUAACAGGAAUACAAAGAGGUUGUUGAUGUCUAGACAUGUAAUCCAUGAUGAAAGUGUAUUCCCUUUUCAAUCAGUUUGCCUUCCAAACAUGAGUUCUUCUCUUAUUCAUGCAUCUUCCCAGAAAUUAUCAUCUAUGAUUGUACUUGUUGUGUUACCAAGAUCUUCAAAUGUGUCUGAGGAACAGUUUCAAGAUACUAAUUAGAGUAGUCAGACUAUGCAAGCAAUAAGUCCCUCUGAUAGCUCGAGUCAAGAAUCAACACAAGCCACUACUCAAGUCACUACUCUAGAUCCUACUUCAUCUCACUUGUUGCCUGUCCAUGCUAGUUCCCAAACUAAGGUACCACACUCUUUUACUGAAUCAUUACCACUGCAUGAUAUAUAUGCUGAGCAGUCUAUUGACGUUGAAACAUCUAAUCCCUUAGAGGUUGAUCAUGACAUAUUACCUCCUGUUAUUCCUAGUACUUCUAUACAUGGUAUGAUUACUAGGUUAAAGAGUGGUGCAAUACAAAGAAAAGAUUAUGCAGCCUAUCAUGUUCCUGUGACAAAUGAAGACUUGUGUCCUAAAUCACAUAAUGAUGAUAUAAUGUUCAGUGGCUUUACUGUUGUUCUAGAUAUACAUGAUUCUUCUGAGCUUGUUGAUUAUAAACAAGCAGUAAUGUCUGAAUGUUGGAGAAAUGCAAUGACUGAAGAAUUUAAUGCUCUUCAAAAACAAGGGACUUCGGAGUUAGUACCAUAUCCGGAAGACAGAAAUGUAGUAGGCAGUAAGUGAGUUUAUAAGAUAAAGAAAGAUCAAGAAGGGAAGGUGUCUAGAUAUAAAGCUAGACUGGUUGCACAGGGGUAUAGUCAAGAACAAGGGUUGGAUUAUGAAGAAACUUUUAGUCCAGUUGUUAGGCAUACCACAGUAAGACUUGUUUUAUCACUUGCAGUAACUUACAAAUGGGAAUUGAGACAAUUAGAUGUUAAAAAUGCAUUUUUGCAUGGAGAAUUGCAAGAAUAGGUUUUUAUGAAACAACCUCAAGGUUUUCAAGAUCCCAGAUAUCCCAAUCAUGUUUGAAAACUUCUUAAGUCUUUGUAUGGUCUGAAACAGGUUCCAAGAGCCUGGAAUGCAAAAUUCACAAGUUAUCUUCCAGCCUUACAAUUUCAAUCUUCUCAUUCAGAUCCAAGUUUAUUUGUCAAAGUCAAUGGGAGUGAUGUGGUGAUUCUUCUACUAUAUGUAGAUGACAUUAUACUUACUGGUUCAUGUUCCCAGCUAGUGCAGCAUGUGAUUGAUGAUUGGUCCUCUGUGUUUGAUAUGAAAGAUAUGGGGACACUCACUUAUUUCCUUGGGCUGCAAGUUAGUUACAAAGACAAUGGAGAUAUUUUUAUUAAUCAGUCAAAGUAUGUGACUGAUCUUCUCAAUAAGGCAGGAAUGUUGUCUUGUAGAUCGUGUUCUACUCGUAGUAAACCUCAUAUACAGUUGUUGAAUGAUGAAAGAGUACCAUUGGCAGAUCCUACAAUGUACAGAAGUUUGGUUGGAGCUUUGCAAUAUCUAACCUUUACUAGGCCAGACAUUGCAUAUGUUGUCAACUAUGCAUGUCAGUUCAUGAACACACCCACUGAGUUUCAUUUUUGUUUGGUAAAACGAAUAUUGAGAUAUUUGAAAGGUACAAUACAGUGUGGAAUCACAUACUCUGCUACUAAGAAAUUAGAAUUGUUUGCAUUUAGUGAUGCUGACUGGGCAGCUGAUAUAAACACUCGAAGGUCCACCACUGGCUAUGUUGUCUUUUUGGGGUCGAAUCCAGUUUCAUGGCAAUCAAAAAAGCAAGGAAGUGUGUCUAGAAGUUCAACCAAGGCUGAGUAUAAAGCAUUGGCUAAUGUUGUAGCUAAUGUUGCUUGGAUAAGAUUGGUUCUUAAAGAUCUUCACUUAUUUCUUUCUUCACCACAUGUCUUGCAUUGUGAUAAUCUGUCCACUCUAGCUUUGUGUUCUAAUCCAGUCUUUCAUACUCGGAUUAAACACUUAGACACAGAUUUUCAUUUUCUUCGUGAAAGAGCGCAGAAAAGAGAUUUGGAGGUUCAAUAUAUUUCCACAGAAGCUCAGGUUGCAUAUGUUCUAACUAAAGGGUUACACAACCCUCUAUUUGUUCAUCAUUGUUCCAAUCUCAGACUGGGAUAUCCCAGCUGAGAUUGAGGGGAAGUAAUAACAGAAUGUAAACCUCUGCAAUUAAGUUAGCUUAGUAUGUACACCUCAGCAAUUAGGCUAGCUUACUUAUUAAGUUUUGACAGCUACUAUAAAUAUGUGUAUAACUGUUUGUAAUUCAUCAAUUCUCAAUAAAAUGAAAAAGUCAACUUCUUCAAGCUGUUUUUUCUCUUUGUUCCAUAUUUUUUGAGUUCUCCAUUUUCACGAGUUCUACAUUUUCCUGAUUUCUGUAAUCUUCGAUUUCCAUGAUUUUUCCAUAGUUAUCGUACAGCUACUAGUGGUUGUUUCUUUUGUCAUAAAAAUUUCUCCGAUGCUGGUUGUUUCUUUGGAUUAACGCCCUCAGUAUAUGAUCGACUAAAAUAUUUAUGUUCGUCCAUAUCCCCUGAACGAUCCACUCUCUAUCAGAUGACGACCUCCCAGGUCCUGAUGACCUAAAUAUCCACUGGAUUUUUAGGAUUAAAUUUAUUUUGAUCCACCUCCACUGUCACUGACGUCUUCAUAUCUUUCAGUCCUGCUUCGCCACACUGAUCGUAAACUGCUCUUUCCUGAGAUCACACAAGAACUGAAUUCGGGAAUACGUUUCAUUCUUUUAUUUUUCACGCAGCACACACGUUAAUGUACAAAAUCAGUGAAACUUUGGAACAACGUAAAAUAUGUUAAGUGCUUGGACAUUUGAAAAAGCAUAGACACUAUUCCAAAAACAAUUUAAUAUACUUCUGUUCUUAAGUCUUGGUUAUGAGAAUUGACAGAAUUGACAAAUAUCCUUUUCUCCCUUCUAAUUAUUAAGGCGCAUUUGGAUAAGGGUGAACUUGGAUUUGGAGUUGGGUUUGGUAUUUUGACUAUGUGAGCAACAUUUCCAAGAUUGACAUUGACAGAAUGUAAGUGAAUAGACUUGCUCAACAUAAGAAGGCGCAGCUAGUAUUGGAUAAUGUGAGCACGUUGAUUUUUUGAAGAUUUAGAAAUGUGGGUUGUUCUAGAAGAUGGGGAAGACGAACCUGUCAACCUAAAUUUUUCAUUUUUUGGAGGAAAAAAAACUGAAAUCAAACCAAAACCGAACCAAAAAAAAAAACCAAACCGAGAAAAAAUUGAAAAAAAUUGAUUCGGUUCAGUUUCGAUUUUGGUGAAAAACCGAACCGUUGAGAACCGAACCCAGCCCUACUCUCCCUUAUCUCUCCAUUUCGAGCUCACCUCUCUCUCAGGCUCUUUCCCGAUCGACACCCAUACAUACAAAAGCACACACAUACACACCCAAGGAGACUUCGACAACGGCACUACCCUCCGAUCCCACUCUCUCCUUCUCACCACGGUGCAGACAUUCCCCGACGAGUUUUCAUCGUUUUUUAUGAAAGUAGGUCGAAACACCCUUCCAUCUUUCUCUCUAGUAGUCUAGAAGGAUUCAUGGUUGCUAAAAUAUGAUUUUGGUGAAGGUUUGGACAUGAAAACACGUCGGGGAGACUUCCCCAGAUUUCCGGGGAGGAACCUGUCACUUUCGAGGCAAUUUUCGGCCAAACCACUAUGAUUUGGCUAGCCUGCAAGGUAUAAAUCUCUUCGUCUAGCUGAGUACUACAACUUUCCUUUUUGUUUCACCCAAUUUCAUUGAGUAUUGAAGAAGUUAUACUCAUUUGAAUCUUACCCAGUUUUCGGCGACCUCCGUGGCUUUUAAGGGGUUUUCCGGCCAAACCACAGCGAGUUAAACGUCGUGCGAGGUACCAUUCUCUUCGUCUCUUUGAGAACUACGAUUUUCGUCUUGAAUCACUCAAUUUCGUGGAGUAUUGACAAAGUUAUAGAUGUUUAAAUUAGCCCAGUUUUCCGACGAAAAACCUCAAAUUCCAAUGUUCUUCUACGGUUAGCUCUGGCGUCUCCCUCUUGGCGAUAGGCCUUUCAGGCCACCUCAAAGACCAUAGGGCCUUAGGAAAUAGGUCUAAGCUUAAGAAUAGUUAAGAACUGAUAAUAAAAUUUGACGAGGCCAAAAACAUUUCGAGAUUCACAAUACUUUGUGAGAGCUAUUUCAAAGUUCAAAAAUUAAACAUAGAACCUCUGAAUCAAUAGAAUGAUGAAGAAGAAAGAUAUGAAGCAGCUUGCUUAUGCAUGAAGCGACAUGAUUGGCUACCUUAAAGUGAUGCCUUUGAGGAAACCAAAGCUUAAUGAGUCUAGAGAAGUUCAGAGCAAAGCUCGAUCUUUGUACAAUGAUGAAUAUGGUGGAAUCUCAAGCCAUUACACUGAAAAAUUACAAGGCUGAACAGUUAAUGGACAAGAACAUUGAUCAAUUGGGCUACAAGUUAUGGGCUAAGUUCACCUGUACCAAAAAGUAUGUGGACAAGGAGCUAGGAUUUACCACCACGUACCAGGCCCAGAUGAAGUUCAAGGAGUCUGUUUAUCCAAACAAGACUGGAUCUUCAUCAUCUAAGUCCAACUACAACAACAACAAGAAUCGCAACUCCUUUUGAAAAAUAAUGAGAAUAGAGUCUGCUACCAAGGAGUUCCCAAGAAAAGUAUAAUCUCUAGACAAAGUCAACGCUUGAAGGAUUUGGUGUAAAGCUGACGGUCAAAAGUUAAGGAACUUGACUUCGUUGUUGGGGUAAGCAAGAUGGUUAUCGAUAGAAUAAUCGUCAAGAAUUGUUCUAAAGAUCCACACGAAUUUCUUCAGUGGUAAUGAGUUUGAGAACAUUGAUUUGAUCCCACCAAUUACCACAUACUAACUUCGUCACAACUAGCGCUUACUCGCUUCCUCCAACACUCACUUUGAAAGUUUCAAGAAGUUGUCAUUAAGAUAUGACUCUACCUGGUAUUCCUAGGGAACGCAUGUUGCAGAGUGAUAUCACCGUUUCAUAUUUCUAAUUGGUCUUAACCAACACACACCACUAAGAUUUUUCCAUUUCCCAAGAUUUCGAUGUAGAGCCGACUCCGCCCGCAAUUCCUAGGGAACGCAUGUUGCAGAGUGGCAUCACCAUUUCGGAUCUACAGUUGGUCUUGACCAGACUUCCUCAAACAAAGAUUUCUAAACACGUCGCUUCCAAGUAACACCAAAUCUGCCCGCCAUUCCCAGGGAAUGCACGCCGCAGAGUAUUGAUCCGAUGUUGAAAGUCGUCCAACAAAUCAAACACGUCACCGAUGAGGCACAAUCCCGACACAAGAUUUCUUAUUUCAACCCGAAUGUGACAAUUCAAACAGAGAAAGGUUUGCACAACUGCGCCGAAUGGCACCAAUUUCGGAAGUCAGGACAUCCAAAUGACGUCAAAACCGACACACUGCUACAGUAACAGAAAGUCCUAAGUAUACUCUAAACAAACCACGCUCUGAUACCAAUCUGACAUGGCCCGAUCCUGAUAUUCCUCGAAUAACAGGAUAAACGCGUGCUGGCCGACACCCGAGGGUGACGAAAGCCAUUUAUUGAGUGCAAAUGCUGAAAACAAGGGAUAGAUAAGACUUAUAAAUAUAAAAGUAUAAAGAAUAUGCAUUUAAGGAAUGUGUUCAGAGCAUACAACUAACUAGAACACUAAAAGAAAUAAUAUAAAAUUGAAUGAAACAAAUGAUGGAUCCUACACCGAGAGGACUCGAAAAUGCCGAUGCGGAAGUGCCCUGACGCCGGGAUUGUAUGUCUCGAUUCUAAGUCCUGAAGGGGCCACAAAACAAACAUGAGUGGACCAAGUUGAUAUAUAUAUAUAAUAAAACAAUUAUCAACGUACUAAUCCCCAGGUUUUAUGAAGAAAAAAACAUAUAUAUCAUGAUAAACAUAAGUUUUCCAAAACCUAGCAUGUUGUGCAAUGUCUCAAAUUAUAACUUGUAUAUAUAAUAAUCACUAGUGAAUGUCCAAAUAUAACCCCCAAGCCCCAUGCUGGCUCCCCGUCUCUGAGCAGACAGUCAGAGAAAAAUACACUACAAGCCCCAUGCCGGCUCCCCGUCCCUGUGCUAAAUAGCUAGAGGAAACACACUCCAGGCCCUAUGCCAACCACAAAUUGUCGUCCGGGAUGGACUGGAAUCUAUCCCUACGUCCCGUAGCGGAAUAAGGACCACUAGGUAAGUACAAAACCAUUGAACAUAUAUAUAUUGAAAAGCAACUUCAUAGUAUAAAGUCAUCUAUCAUCUAUACAAUAAAGAGGUGUUCGAAACAUGUUCUAAAUAUCAUAUCGUCAUCCAUCUAUUCUAUAAGAACACGAGUUAUAGGAAAAAUAGUAGUAAUUCAAACUAGCCUCAGUAAGCAUGUUAUCUCAAAGCAUUUCAUAAAACAUAAUUGUUAAAUCAUGCUUUUCAUGUGUGCAUUUCUACUAUCAAAGCAUGCAUUUUUAGAAUGAGUCCACUCACAGAUACUUCGCCGUUGAAGAGCCACACAAACUAGCGAAGACAAAAACGCCACUAUAAUUGCCCCUAAUCACAUAAAUGGUACAUUUAGUCAAACUCUACUCAAACGAUUGAAUUUGGGAAAAUGGACUUCAAAAACGGGUCCAGGACGUCGAAAUUAGCUUAGGAGAGGUCUCGAACGAAAACCCGAAAAGUCAACGUUAACCGUUGACCGGGACGGUCAACGGGUCACGGGUCCAUCGGGUCGGGUCAGUCAAACCCGGUUUAGGGUUUUGGGUUAGGAAUUGGGUUGGGCUUAGAUUUAGGAUAGGUUGGGUUUUAGGGUAAAAAGGCUUAAGGGAUUUGGGCUUUCAAAAAACAGGCCUCAAGCCUUAACUAAAUGGCCCAAGGGCCUUAAACUUAAAACAAUUAAAAAUAAAACAAAAUAAAUAAGAAAACAAAAAUGGGUUUGGGUUGGGCUCGACAGGAAAGGCCCAAAGGCCUGGUGUGGUUACUGCUUGCCGAAGCUAAACGGAAGGGAAGGCCGAAUUUCGGCCAUAAAACUACACAAACUUUAAACGGCCAUAACUUUGUCCAAACUCAACGAAAUCAAGUGAAACAAAAAUGAAAGUUGUGUUUCUCGAAGAGACAAAGAGAAUGGUACUCGCAAAACAUCUAAAUCACCGUGGUUUGGCCGAAAAACGCCUCGAAAGCCACCGGACUCGCCAAAAACUUGGUAAGAUUCAAAUGACUAUAACUUCUUCAAUACUCAACGAAAUUGGGUGAAACAAAAAGGAAAGUUGUAGUACUCAGAGAGAAAAAGAGAUUUAUACCUUGAACGCUGGCCAAAUCUCCGUGUUUUUGCCGUAAAUUGCCUCGAAAGGGGCGGUCUGUGUCAGAGUUCGUGUACGGGGCCUCAUGGUUCGACUUCGACGACGCCAUGCCUUUGGUUGUGUUCGUAGGGACGAGAUGAAGACAAUGGUGAUGUCAAAAUUGUGAUUUGAUGAUGAUUUUAGGAUAUGGGUUAUGGGUGUGGCGCGGUGAAGGAGAAGAAGAGAAAGGGAGUAUGGGAAAAAGAGAGGAGAAGAGAUAGAGAAAGAAGAGGGCUGAGAGAGUUAUAAAAAUCAGAAAAAGAAAGAAAAGGGGAAGGGAACCGGGGGACAAGGAUCACAUGUGGCCCCUUAGGCACACCAAUUAAGACCAAAAACCAUUUUUAAAAGGAAAACUAUCCACAAACUUAGUGAAAAUUCAAAAAUACCAUUUUUGUUCCAUAAAUCCUGGGACGGUGGUUACAAUCGAGACAUACAAUCCCGGCGUCAAGGCACUUCCUCAUCGACAUCUUCGAGUCCUCUCGGUGUAGGACGCAUAUCCUUUUAUUCAUUCAAUUUUAUAUUAUUUCUUUUAGUAUUCUAGUUAGUUGUAUGCUCUGAACAUGUUCCUUAAAUGCAUAUUCUUUAUUCUUUUAUAUUUAUAAAUCUUAUAUAUCCCUUGUUUUCAGUAAGUGCACUCAAUAAAUGGCUUUCGUCACCUUCGGGUGUCGGCCAGUAUGUGCUUAUCCUGGUAUUCAGGGAAUAUCGGGAUCGGGGCGUGUCAAAAACACUUUGAAAGUUGGCUGAUUGGUGAAUAUAUUGUGUGAUGGUUAGAUAUUCAACCUAUGCUUAUAUAGAGGAUGAUUGAAGGUUUGCGUUUCAUGUGUGUAGGUUUGUAUUUUAUGCGUUUCAUGUGUUUUGUAUGUAUUUGGUAUGUGUUUUGUGUGUGUCAUGUGUUUCACAUGUUUGGUGUGUUAUACAUCUUUAUCAUGUGUUUUGUAUGUGCUUCAUAUGUAUUAUGUGUGUCUUUUGUGUUUACACAUCUCUAUCAUGAUUUUCAUAUUCUUCCAUAGUGUUUCAUGAAUUUCAUGUAUUGAUUUAGUGAUUUUUCAAUAUUUAUCCGAAUUUAAAUAUUUUUAAGUUAAAAUGUUCAUAAAAUUAAUUUAAGAUAAUCUACAUAUUUUUUUUAAAGUUAAUUUAAAAAAAAAAUAGCCUAAAUUCAUUCUUUAAUAAUUUGAGGUUAAAAUUUUAGGAUAAAAGGGUUGGAGCAGAAAAUAUGUUCUAGGUUAAAACCUAAAUUUUCUGAGGUAAAAAUUUUAGGUUUUACUCCAAGGGUUGGAGAUGGUUCAAGUGCACAGGUCGUUGGUGGCCUGCACUUAUUGUAACAGAAGAAAGUUAAGAAACCAUCUGGUAAUGAUAUAUGAUGAAAUAACCAUCACUCAUUACUACCACAUAAAUUAAUAACAUUACGAGACGGUGCGUGCAGAGAAGGUGCGCAAAGACACAAAAAGUUUUCGUAGAUGGCUAAGCUGAUGUUAUGAACCUAGAGUAUAUUAUUAACAAAUAAAUACAUGUGCUAUAAUAUGAGUGAAUUUAUAACACUCGUAAUCAAGUUCAUAAAGUAGUAAAAAGUUAGAGCUCAUUUGGAAGUGCCUUUAAAAUGAUUGAAAACACUUUUAGAGAAAAUGUUUGGGGUUCCAAAAGCAACUAAAGUGCUUCCUGGAAGAAGCACUGGUUAUGUGCUUCUUCCAGAAAGCACUUCAAGUACUUUUUCACGAUUCACUUGCGUUUUUACCAAGAAUUGAUUUCAAAAACAUUUACACCAAAACUUUUUCAAUCAAUUUAAAAGCACUUUCAAACGAGAUAUUAAUGACAUCCACAUCUCUUUUGCAAUUAAAGAAAGUGGGCUUUUGCAAUGGAUCAGUUUCAUUUCAUAGAAAAGUCACUUUGCCCAAGAACACAUAACCCAACCCAAACCCUAAAUUUACUUGCAGGCUAGCCCAACCUAUAAAGGCCUAAAUAGUGGCUUACAACUAGCUACACCGACGCGGGCUAUGGUUGCGGCUGAGCUCACUAGAUUCCGCACCAGUCAGUGCUCCAAAAGAAAAAUUCGAACCAGAAUUCAAGGUUGUAUUGUUCGACCUUAAUACCAGUUGAAGGGUUUUCUUUGCUUGCUCUUGAAGAUCUUAGAUUUCUUCAUCCUCCAUUUCCAGAAUGUUCAAGAAGUAAGCUUUAUAUAUAUUGUCAAUAUAUUGUACGUAUAGGUGUUUAUUUUUAAAUAUAUGUUAUUUGUUUGCUUAGUUUUUUUUUUUUUUUUUUAUCAUUGAGGCAUAUGAUUUCUGGGUUUGGUUUAAUUCGAUGAAAAAUUAAACAGCGUUUCAAUUUUGUUUUCAUUUGUGUUUUCUGAUUAUAUACUUUUAUGGGUUUUAAUUUUGGAUUUAUGCCCUGAAGUUUAUAUGUUAUUUUGUGUAAUUGGAAGUAUAAAUUUGAAUACUUGGAGCUAACGGACGGAAAAUCAAGCGCAGUGGCGUUCUAGGAUUCAUACAGCCGACUCAUAAGGCGUUGUUGUUGUUGUGGAAGUAUAAAUUGGAAUUGUGCCAUUGCUUCUCUGUGGUUUAAGCAACCGUUCUAAAGCUUGAUCCUUCUCAGCAAAGUUGGUUUUGUGCUGUAUGUGGGAUGUUUUGAUGUUAAAAUGAAGCUUGAAAGGUCACUUCUUUUUGGUUUUUAUGGAAGAUGAGGUUAAUUAUUUGGGGAGGAUGGUUAGGGUUCUCAAAUAUUUGUUUUUGUGUGGGAGCGGUUUGGAGUAGCAAAUUUUUGUUUUGUGUUGCAAUAGAUGCGUAAGGGGAAUAUUUCGUAAUAUGAUUGCAUAAUACGUGUGUAAUGUUGUAGGUUUUCUACUGAAGAGGUGUCUGCACAAAAUCAAGUUAAGGCAUCUGUCCAGCGCAAAAUUCGGCAGAGUAUUGCAGAUGAGGUAAGAUGAUUAGGUUCAUAGGAAUUUCACGGAUGCUUUAAGAUACGCUUUACAUAUGUCUGUAACACAAAGUUAACUUCAACUGCAGUACCCGGGACUCGAACAGGUGUUGGAAGAUUUGAUCCCAAAGAAAUCUCCUCUUAUUGUGGCUAAAUGGUUUGUCGCUCUGUUGGUCCUGCUUCUGUGUUUUACUUAUUGACUCAGCUAUUUGUUUCAUGCUGCCUUAUCUCCAUGUAUCUAACAUUGUCUUCCACAUGCUCGACUUUUGCAGUCAGAACCAUCUAAAUCUGGUGGUGGUAAACAACGUGCCACUAUUUUUCAACAUUCGUGAUGGACCGUAUAUGCCUACCCUAAGACUUCUUCAUCAAUGUAAAAGUUUCUUUACCGCCAAAAUGCCUUAUCUCAAUAAGUCUGGUCUAUGAACCAGUUAUGCAAUCCUUGAUUUGCUUCUUCUUUUGAGUGGAUUAUUUUAUUUUUCUCAAAUAAAAAGCUACAUAGUUGGUGAAUUUUCCUUCCAAAUAGUUGUAACUGAGAAAGCUCGGGGUUUCUUACGGGUUUUACAGAUCCAGACAUAAUGAAAAAGUUGCAAGUAGAUAGGGGCGCCAUAAGGUUUGUUCUCUCUGGUGCAAACAUAAUGUGUCCAGGUCUAACUUCUCCCGGUGGUUCUUUGGAUGAUGAAGUGGGUGCAGAAACUCCCGUGGUAGGAGUUUUAUGUCUCUUUUUUUCUUUGUAUUAAUGUAAUGUCAUACUCAUGUUAGAACCUUUUUUUUUUGUUCAAAUGUUAGGUUGAGUUGAUUUAAAUAAUUGUCUUGUCACGAGACGGAAAUGUUGAAGUUCAGUUUGUUUUGUAUGUCUCUGAUUUGUAAAACUGAUUACGCUCAGGCAAUAAUGGCAGAAGGAAAACAACAUGCUCUUGCUAUUGGCUUCACAAAAAUGUCAGCAAAAGAAAUGUAAGUUAUUUUCUUAUUCGAAGGACAUUAUCGUUGCUUCUCCUAGAGUAAUGCCUUGGGUACCCUUAGAAUAUUGAGGACAAGAUAUAUAAUACGAGAGCCUAACUUGCAUUACCGACCUCAAAUCUAGCUUAGUUAUCUGUUGCUGAUUGUCGUAUUUACAAAGUUGAGUCUUCCCCUUGGUUUGCAGAAGAGAUAUCAACAAGGGAAUCGGAGUUGACAACAUGCAUUAUCUUAACGAUGGUCUUUGGAAGGUACGUCAGUGUCUACUUUGUAUUUAUGGCCAUUGCCAGUGUUUUAACUAGUGUUUCGUUGUUAAAUCUUUCGCCUUGCUAUGCAGAUGGAACAUCUAGAUUGAAGAUACUCAAGACUAUCCGUGGUAUCAUCAACAAGAAAUGAAGAACACAUGUUAGUUUCAUCGAUGUGGUCUUGACUUUACUGUUUUUCGGAGUGUUAGGUCCGAGCUUUACAAGUCACGAGUAUACCCUAACCGUAUUUACAUGUUUUGUAUUUGUACGUGGAGUGAUCAUCUUUAUCAAAUUCAUCGUAAGAUGGUCAUAUCCAUUUUGUGAUACAAUUUAGAGGUAUUUUUCUUAUAUGAUGUAAGAGGUGAAUUCCCAACUCCCAAGCAUAUGUUUUGACAUCUUUUCCAGUGAACUAUAUGUCUUUGCGAAGAUAAAUGAACGAAAUUAUGAUUUCCUCUUAGACAGCUGCGUAAUCUUUGAAAUUUCAUCGUGAUGUUGGUCUUCAACGAGGAAUUCCUAGUAAGCGCGAGUCAUCAGCUCGUGUUGACUACGUUCCUGCCCUUUGUACACACCACCCCUCGUACCGAUUGAAUGGUCCGGAAAAGUGUUCGGAUCGCGGCGACGAUCGAUUGCUUGAGAAGAAUGCAAGUGAGGAAAUGCUAAAACUAGCACAUUUCGGUGCUCGCAGAAUAGCAAAGGGGCAACAAACUUUUUAAAACUAAACGUUUUCCGUACUAGAAAUACAUCUUUUACUUGUUUUUCCUACUUCUCGAACUAUCAGGAGAUUUCUGGCUGAUCUUGGCUUCAAAUUUCCUGAUUCGUAGAGCGGCUACAUUGUGGCUCUGGCUACGUCUUUAUCGUUUGCUGCAUAUUGACAUGAACAAAGAAAAGAUCAACAGCGAAGCGAAAAACGAUCCAAGUUAGCAACACUGCAAAAUCUCAUUAUGGCAAUCGAAAUGUGGCGGCAGAAGAAGGGCAUACCUUACAGACAAUAGGCCGGCUGUAAGAACCAAUCCUCCGACGGCCCAAGAAACUCGUUCACUAAAUGGCAUGUCCCUCCACCUCUGCUGGAAUUCAGCCUCAAGCUCUCAGCUUUCUGGAGCACCUCAGAAGGUGAAGCCUUCCAUGAAUCAGCAAUCAAGUCAAGACUGGCUUUACCAACAACAACAACAACAACAAAGCCUUUUCCCACUAAGUGGGGUCGGCUCAAGACUGGCUUUACCGCAGUAGCAAAAUGCUUCUUCGUUGCUCACGGAUGCAUCAUCUUUAACAGCAAAUCCUGCCGCAUGGCAGAACUCUGUGCCAUUAAGAAUCCAUUCCGAGGCCCUGCCGCAAACAUAAUCACUUACUCCACAUGGUGCUAGAACCUGGAAGAAGGUAAUUAAUCAGAAAAUGCAAUUCCCUAAUGCACCCAAAAGAGAUCAGUUUAAUCACCUAUUUAUUUGGUUAUGUCAAAUUAUAAGUCGGUAAAAAAAAUUCCUCGACUGGAAGUUAAAGGUCUCCCACAUACCUGUGUUAUUGCAUCUGUCGAGUAGUAAGCCUCAGCACAAGCCUCAAAAACCCUGUCACAGAAAGAGGCACAUAUAGCUGGAGGUCCUGACUGCACGCCAAUGCAGGGAUCACAGAUGGAACAUUCCAGUAAUUCCCACAAAUGCAAGCACUCUGGGCCAGCUUCCCCUGAUGAAGCCAACUUCCUAACGGAUACCAGUGCAGGCUGUGUCUGGGCUACAUCACAGCAAGUUUUUUGCGGAACACUCUGCAAAGGGUCAGAUCUUUGGGUCCCUUACUCAGAUGUUUUGGAGGUUUUCCCUCGGAAGACAAUGGUGGGAAACGACCGCCUUGAGAAAUGCAUACACUGUCAGGUUUACCUACAACUAAAACAGAUGUAGAUAACGUUUAAUGACCAACUAGCGUACAUGCAAAAAUCAUUUGAAAACCAUGUAAAAACUUCUUUACAUAGGAAUUGAAUUUCUCCAAAAUAAUUUGUUAACUUAAGACUCUUGAAGAUGAUUGCCACUGCGAAACGGAAAAGCCUAAAGUAUUGCCCCACAAGAAAUGCAAUUACGUUCUUGCUUGGGAUUCUUGGGAAGAACCAGAAUUUCUUCUGGUUGCCUUUAAGUUAAAGAGAUAAACCAUGCUUACAUGCAUAAAUCAGAUUACAAGAGCAACACCGAUACGAGGCCAAAUCCAGAAAGCAGAUGCCAUUCUGCUGAUUUAAGGAAACAACAAGCAGAUUGCGUCCAAUUUCCACACCGCUAUGAAAAAUGAACAAUGACCAUGCACUCGUAAGAUGUGAUAAGGCAGUCGGGGCACGCCAAAGACACCUUAUGUCAGCUUCAAAAAAAGAGCAAGCCCCUUCAUGGCUUGUCAACCAGAGACAUAAUUAACAUAGACCUCCACACAAGAUUCUAAAAGACGCUAGCUGUUAGUUGAACGGCAAGCUGGGGCCUAGCACCUAGGUGGCUAGGCGGGCCUAGACGGGCGCCUAGAUGAACAAGACGGAUUUAAGUAAAUCUAUUAUAUUUCGUGUAAAUAAGCGUCUGUUUAUACUUAAAAAAUAUAUAAUUUCAUUAUAAACUACAAAAUAGAAUGACAUAUAUAUUAGGAAGUAUUGGAACAUAAUGAAAACAUGGGGAACAAGCAUAUAAUGGGUAUUCGUUUAAGUAUUCAACAAGUAUCUUACAAUUUAUUAAAAAAAUAAAAUACAAAAUGAAAGUUAUCUAUUUUUUAACCAAAUAAGUCACAACUUAGACAGGUGCCUAGGUGGUCUAGGUGGUCUAGGCGGACGCCUCAACAGGUCUAGACGCUCUUUCUUAAUUUUCAAAGGCUUAAACAUUAAUCAAGGUAGUGACCAACCGCCUAGCACCUAGGUGGGGAUUUUUGGAACAGUGCCUCCACGUCAAACUGAUUCUAGCCUACCUCAACUUCCCUCAACCGAAUAUGUUACAUCCGCAAUGCGGAACUAUAGCUCAUACAAACCUUAUGUUUUGGCACACUGGAGACAGAAGUCUAACCUAGUGUGAGAAAAUGGAAAUCUCACUGUUGCAAUUCUCAUGUCAGAGCAGAUAUCCAGUGAUGUCUGCAUACAGUAGACUGAAACUGUACCGAUCAAGUGCAAAAAGAUGGGACUUUCUGAAUCCUAUCUGGAUUUUUUUUUUUUUUUUUUGAACAUCUAUCUGGAUUUUGACUAAUUCUACAAUCCAAAAAAUAAAAUAAAAAUACAAAUCCAUGAUGUCAUUGUUCUCCUAAAAAACUGAUCGUUUUCGAUGGCUGCAAAGUUGGGACACUACGAAAUCGACUCCAAAACUGUUCGCUGAUUAAUUUCAACACAAAGGUCCCGAAAAUCAAACAAUUAGGAUCUGAAAACAAACAAGAAAAAUGAUAUUAUAUAUAUAUAUAUAUAUAUAUAUAUAUAUAUAUAUAUCUGUGUGUGUGUAUUUAUGUACGUAUUUACCAGUUAAAGAGGGGACGAGUGUAUUGAGAAGGAGCAGCAGGAUCAGAGACGCGCAACCCAUUUUUCAUCACUCGGUGGUUUCUUAGUUCUCAAAAAUUUUAAUUUUAAUUGAAAAAUGACAAAUAAAGUUGUAAGUGAAUAGUACAAAAAAAGAUAAAAAUAUGGUUUUUCAUAAAAAAAAAAUAAAUGGUACCAAAAGUGUUUCGUUAAAACUCACAAACAAAAUCCGAUCCGGUGAGAACGGUGGCUGUGGUGGGUACCCGGUGACCCAAUGUACCACAGGUCUCAGGUCUGCGGUGAUGGACCCAAACUUCUAACUGGGUCGGAAGGGAAACAUGGACUCAGGUUGGAGGCCCAUAUAUGUUGCCCUUUCGUUUCUAUACUUAUUUUUACAUAUUUCUAUAAACAUCCACAUAAAUUUCUAAUAUUUCUAAUUUAUUCCUGCUUAAAAUAGAGAAAUAAAAAUUGGCACCAUUCCAAACCCUUUCUGUUUUUUGGUCAAGGAGGAAUUUUAUAACAAAGUCCAAACGGACGCAGUAGAAAGAUAACAGCUUCAUAAUUGAGGUAGGUACAAAUGAGACGUCACUUGUACAUUCAUCGCAUGAGUAAAGGUUCUCAAUUAUACCUAAAGCAUACAAAAAAAUUACAAGAGAUAUGGCUCGGCCCAAAAGCCGAAGUCCACCCGAAGAGGCCCAAAAGUGACCCCUCCGAAAAAAUCUAAUAACCCUAAAACGAGAAUCACCCACCGCCUCAACCGCCUCACCAUUCCAAACCCUUCUUGAUUCUUAUUCUCCUUCUUUCGCCUUCUCUUAAUUCUUCUCCAAACACAGAUUUGCCAUUGGGCUCCACUGCAUCUGGAAUUGACAGUGCACUGUGCACUGCAACAGUGGCUCAGAAAAGGACGACGCCGUUUCCCAAAUUCUCAGUCAAGCACCGCCUGAAAUCCUUAUGGCCCUAGAGCACCAAGAGGAGGUGGCGGACCCACAUACCAUGGGAUGGCUCUCGUAUGAGGGGUAUACUUAGGGAAUAAAUUUAAUUUAAAUAAUUGAAUAUGCAACGGAAAAAUAAUAAAUAACAUACAAUAUGUUAUUCCAAUAUGCUAAAAAUGUCUCUAUAAUCUUAUCAAAUAGUGCUAAUAGCAUUUUAACAACUACACAACACCAAAGUGCGUCGAAGUGAGGCACCUGAUGAGCCUAAAAACAGAGGUGGAUGGUUUAAGGGUUGCGAUGGAAAGCAAUAUUGGAGCAAAAAAGGGGCAUAAAAACCCAAAUUUUGAGACGAAAGGUCAAGAAAACCAAAAUACAAGGGGUCUAAGUAAAAUACAGAGAAGCUAAGGAGACAAAGGAGAAGGAAAAGUAGUUGGAAUUGGCCAGAGAAGGGGGUUGCCAUCGACCCCCACCCAAAGUAGGUGUUGGUGGCAUUGUCUUCAUGAUUCAGCGUGUCCGUGUUUGUCUUAUCCAUUUUGCUUUAAUGUCUUUGUGUUUUUUAAAACUUCCAUGUUAUGUAUCAUUGAGGGCUUCAAAAAGAAAAAUAAAGAACGGUUAGAUCUUUCAUGUUGCGUUCUAAUUAUCUUUGCAAUGAUUAAAUUUUUUAUAAAACUCCUACUUGAAUGGUAUGUACUAUUGCAGUCGAACUUUUAUUAGUAUUUAAUAUAACAGGAUAGUGUUAUUUACACAUCUGUUUUACCCACACGCAUUUGUUAAUUUUGAACCAUCAAAUUUCUUCAAUUCAUUCGAUUAGACGGUUGGAUAUUGACCUCUCGUUGAUUUCUGUUCUUUGAUAUUUUUCAAUUCAUCUUAUCAGACAUCCGAAAAUUAAAAAAAUGUGUGAAUAUCACACCCCUAAUAAAAAAUGGUGGAUAGCACUACCCUAAUAAGGUUAGUGGAGUGUCAACUUCAUCUCUCGUAUUUUUCCACUCUUCAAAGUGAAGAUAUAUGAAUCUCAUCAUAUAGAUAAGAUUCUGUUAUAAGCUUAUCGUCAUAUCAAUGCUAGGUUAGGUUAGCGGCAGCGGCAUGGUCCCUUUUGGCCCAUACGUCCGUACACAGCUCCGUUAACUUAUCACGGAUGGGCAUUAGGAUAAGUUCUACUAGAUACCAGAAUCCCAGAUGGAAAAUUUAUCUCGUGUUCUCUGUACAAGUUAUACUAACGAGAGCAUCUUUCAACAAUCCAGAUGGAUAAGCAAUAACGGAGUUGUACCAACGGAAAUUUCAAUCGACGUUAGAUUCAUAUCCAUGUUUCUGGCAUCAAGUUAGGGUCUCGGAAAAUAGGGUCCCCUCUGGCAAUGGCCGGAUCGACAUAGAGAUUCGGAUGAUACCAAUAACCUCCGACAGUCCGACUGCCCGAAAAAUACAUGCGAAGGUCUUUCGAGGACUAUCCAAAUGUAUGACACAGACUCAUUAAUAGUAUGAUGAAAUGCCUUCCAAAAAUAUCUUGACAACAUUUGGCUAGACAUGUCAACCAUGCCUAGCCUGAGAUCUCAACAGCACUCGACAAGUUUUUUUGGCUUUGUUAAUACAACGCAAUAACGAUCGGUCCACUAAAUGCUCGACAAAUUUUUACGUGUUACGCGCACAUUAGUUUCUUUUUGUGUGCAUAUUUUUUAAAAUUUUAUUUGUGUUUGUACCCAUGUGUAUGUCAUCAUGUAACAUUGUAUAUUUAAUCAAUGAUAGAAAAAUUACAUAUGGUAUAUUUAUGUUUUAUGCCUAACUUUUGUAUCAUAUAUUUAUAUUUUUAGUUUGUACCCACUUUUAAUUUGCAACAUUUUUUAAAAAAAUUUGUAGUAUUUUCUUUUUAAUUUUAUUUUGUACCCAUGUAUUAAUUUCUUUUAGUGCCUAUAUUUUUUAAGUACCAAUUUUUUUAACACUAUGAAUACAUUCUUUUGUCAUUUAUUAUUUCUUAUUUUUACAUAGUUUUUAUCCAUUUAUUCAAUUAAAAUGUUUGAAUUUUUUUAUUGUAACCGUUUCUAAUAGUAUUAUAACGAAGAAUUUAAAAUUUAUAGGAUAAUAAAUUUCAUAAAAUAUCAAACAAUUAAUAUCAAAACUAUAAAAAAUAUAAAUAUUAAUUGUAAUAUAAUGAGGUGUACAAAGUCAAUAAACUUUAAUUAAACUUUGAAUACCAUUAAAAUUUUAGUCAAAGAAUGUUAAGGAUUAAAAACCGCAUCCAAAAUAUCCCUUAAUUGUAUGACGAAAUGCCUUCCAAAAAUAUCUUGACAACAUAUCUUGACAACAUUUGGCUAGACGUAUCAACCAUGCCCACCCUGAGAUCUCUCGACAGCACUCUGACAAGUUUCUUUGGCUUUGUUAAUAUAAUUCAAUAACGAUCGGUCCACCAAAUGCUCGACAAAUUUUUGCGUAGCCGCGCACAUUAUUCAUCUAAAUAGAACCUGAAUGUUUUAGGCUGAAAUUCUUAAUCCUGAAUCCGCCAGCCAUACGUCCACACUUACAACUACGACGAAUAGCGCCCAUGGAUAAGAUAUCUUUCUACAAACGAGAAGUAUUGACACAAGCACCAGAUUAUAUAGAUCCAGUACCACAUCAUAAUACAUUACACAUGCACGAACUAAUAUGCAGUUUUAUUAUUCAAAAUACAACAGCAGGAACUUGUAAGGGAAAAUUAAACACUCUCUUUACAAAUAACAGCAGAGAUUAUGCAGAUUUAGCAACAUGGAAACCCUAGCAACUCGGAACGAACACACCCAAACCCUAGCAACAGCGGAGAUUCAACCACUAUACUUAUAUAGUCGCACAUGCACUAGAUUGAAACUCAGAACAAACAACACCCAAAACCCUACGUGGAAACCCUAGACAGUUUCUUUUUUCCUUCCAGCCAUGGCUAAACCGUCCACAGAAAAC